Molecule: long non-coding RNA, 57231 nt
Filed under: Hordeum vulgare
Lineage: Eukaryota; Viridiplantae; Streptophyta; Magnoliopsida; Poales; Poaceae
Description: long non-coding RNA (HVUL_LNC015509)
Source: RNAcentral
GUGAAGGCGGAGGUCGAGGUCGGGGGUGCAGGCGGAGGUGGAAGACGCGCGGAAUAAGAUGCUCUUUCUGUUGGAAUUACUGUAGCGACGCUAAUUCAAAAUUUGUAUUAGAGGCAUAAAAGUCAAUUACCUCAUUUUCACCUGGUCGGAAUUAUACUCGCAGCGACCUAUAUUUUGGUACCGAGGGAGUAACUAGUAGAACAUAUUCCUCAAGGGGCACACUUUGUAUGCUAUGCAACGGUGAGCCGAGAUGAGUGUUUGGUAAAAUUUAUAUGAUAUGGCUGGUUGUAUAUGCAGGUUCUUUAAAAUAUAGCUGAAAAUCGGGAAGGAACGUGGAUCAGGCGGCAACAUUGGGCGAUUGGACCCGGGGCUCAAUGACUACAGAUGUCCUGAUAGUGGAUCCUCACUUGCGACGGCGCGAGGCGGCAGGAUCUGGUGUGUAGCGCUCGGGCAAGGGCGAAUGAGGCCGGCGACGGCGCUUGACGGGUGCGCGGAGGUGGCAGGAUCUGGUGUGUAGCGCUCGGGCAAGGGCGAAUGAGGCCGGCGACGGCGCUUGANNNNNNNNNNNNNNNNNNNNNNNNNNNNNNNNNNNNNNNNNNNNNNNNNNNNNNNNNNNNNNNNNNNNNNNNNNNNNNNNNNNNNNNNNNNNNNNNNNNNGCAUGCAAGCUUCCUCCGAGUGUAUACUCGAGAUCCACUCGGAGGCUUAGCAGACCCUCAUUGAGGCUCAUGUGGAUGUGAAGACAACUGACAACUACAUGAGUAACAACUCAUGCCGAGUGUGCACGAAAAGCCACACUCGGGGACUUAGCUGCGACUCAGAGUCGCCUAAGUAAAAAAGCUUCCUCCGAGUGUAUACUCGAUAUUCACUCGGAGGCUUAGCAGACCCUCAUUGAGACUCAUGUGGAUGUGAAGACAACUGACAACUACAUGAGUAACAACUCGCUCCGAGUGCACACUAACAGUCACACUCGGAGACUUAGCCGCGACCCAGAGUCGCCUAAGUAAAAGCUCGCUCCGAGUGCGCACUCGGAGGCUUGGCAGACCCUCAUUGAGGCUCAUAUGGAUGUGAAGACAACUGACAACUACAUGCUCUGCAUGUUUGCCAUUGGCUUCACCAAGAGACGCCAAACAAAAACCACGAGCCAAAAUCGUGUCAAAAAAAACUUAGCGAAAGAAGAGCAAAUGAUCCGAUUCGAAUUCAAAGUUGGAUCUACGAUCAGUCGGCUCGGUGUGAAUCAAGCUUAUUCACACCGAACCACGAAUGUGCCGGCCAACAGCAGUGGCCAAAGUUUAAUACAGAUACCACUCGGCAUACCGAGGUAAAUGUGCGUUCACCAUAAAGUUUUUUCAAGCGUCACCGGGACUGGCAGGCUCCACAAAGGUGUCAAGGUCGAUUCCGUCUGCAAUGCGAAUGGCUGUGUCGAGGAAGGUCUCCAUGAAAUCUUCAAAUCGAAGCUUCUUGGUGUUGGCGACCUGCAACGUCUUCAGCUUUUCUUCGCGAGCUUCCUUGCAGUGCACUCGGACCAGAGAUAGCACCACGUCCGCACCACAACGAGCGGCAGACUUCUUCCAUGCCUGCACUCUGCUUGGGACGUCUUCCAGCCGAGUCAUCAACCCAUCUAUUUCUUGUCGGGAAUCAUCUUCAGGCCACAGCUCCUUGUCGAUCCGGCCGAUGAAUGUUCUCAGGCGGCCAAUGAAAGGUCCCACCCUGCUAAGGCGAAUAUGCGCUCGAAGCAAGUCCCGGUUGGCUUCAUCGCCGAGUGGAACGUUCGGAACAACCGACCAUUCAAUGUCGGCCGUUUCAGCCUCAACGUCCUGACAGAAGUCUGCAAAGAAAAGACAAGCAGAAAGUAAGCGCAGAGUGAACUCCAAAGUCAAGAAGCACUCGGCAACAACUUACCACCAAGCAGUGCAACCAUCUUCCUUGCCCAGUCGCUGACGUACUUCUCCUGCGACAUGCACCGAGUGUUCAUCACCUUCAGCUGGCCCAUCCAUUCGGAUCUCUGACUCCUCAAUUUUUCAACUUCGUCUAGCAAUGCCUUGUUGGUCUCCCGAGACUCCUCCAAAGACUUCUCUCGGUCAGCAAGAGCCUCCUUCACACCAGCCAGGUCAUUCACAGCCGCCUCCAAGUCCGCAGCAAGCUGAAUCUUCUCGGCCUUCAGAGCAUUGUACGCAGAUCCCAUUUCGCAAGUCUUCUGCCAAAUAGGCACAAAGGGAGGAUCAAACACAUUCAACAAGGAAAAAUAUCGACACAUAUGACAAAACAAUCAAAGUCCAAGAUUCUUCAGACCCCUGCCGAUGCAAGCAAUCGACAGCGGUCUCGGGGACUACACCCAGUGGGUUCAAUAAGAGUGACCCCACUGGUAUGCAGCUCGAACAGGUCGGCCCUAUCGAGCUCCAUAGCGAACAAACAGCACUAUGAGACUACUAUUACCCGACCUGAGUAACACUACUCUCGGGGACUACACCCAGUGGGUGCACUCGGAGUGCACCCACUGGUACCGUUCGGGCGGAUCAGCUCUGAUCUGUUCAGAUUACGGAAAAUACAUAUAAAGACAACCGCCGGUGCAAGCACUCGGCAGAAGUCUCGGGGACUACACCCACUGGGUUCACUCGGAGUGAACCCACUGCAAAAUCAUCCUACUGUAUCCGAGUAUAUCGCUGAAACCCCUAGUGGGUAACAAGAGGAAAGUAAACACUUACUAGCGCACUUACUCGGAUAUCGUCCGGAGCUCCAAGCUUUUCUUGUACAAAGACGCGAUGGAGUCAUACGCUCCCUUGGCGUCACCCACCAUUAGCUCCACCUGCACCAUGGCGUCCUUGGCGGCCCCCACCUGGUCUUCCGGGAGGUGUCGGGCGUCAUAUCGAACGGUUGACGGACCCGGCGCGACAGAAGACUCCUUGGGCAUCCCGAGCUCCGAUCCAGUCGGUUCCGCCGUGAGGGGCACCGUCUCAGUCGGCGGCACCGUCUUAGUCGGCGGCACAUUCAUGGUGGGAGCAGCAACAGAUGGGACAGCCUCAAGGACAGGCACCAAAGCUGGCUCCGACCCCCUUUGGUCAUCGUCCUCCAGAUGGAUCACCUCUGAAGGAAGCCUGACUGAACAACAUGAAAUUACAGAAAAAGAGCAAGAUCAAAGACAGCACUUGCGAAACAAUAAUACAAACUCUCGGAGUCAUGACAACGUACCUUGCUGGGACGUGGCGGCGUUAUCCGUCUCCAUGGGAUCAUCGUCCUGGCGCGGCACAGAGGUGGCGGAGGUAGCAGCUCUGUUGAGUGAAAUCCACUCGACGGAUAAGCAUGAGUUCAAUCAGAUACAGAAGGAAGAUGGAAGAACAAGACACUUACGCUGAGGCGACUGGAACAGCGAUCCUCAUCAGAGGCAAAGCUUUCCGAGGCUUAGGCCCACUAGGUUUGGCCACCUUGGACGGCUGGUCCGUGGGCUCGGCAGCAGCGUCCCUGGUCCUCUUCACACUCCGAGCACUCAGAGCCACGGGAGGGGCUGGCCGAGCACUCGGGGUGGCUGGAGGAGCCGGCGGAGCAGCGGGAUCGUGACGGCGCUUAGUUCGGUGCUCUGGUGGUGAAGGUGGCGAGCUCUGCUCCCCAUCCUCCUCCUCCUCCUCUUCCGUCUCCUCCUCCGUCUCCCCACUGUCGGAGACGUACUCGGCGCUAUCCGCACUGCCCUCCUGGCUGCCCUCCUUUUCCUCGGCUGGAUUCCCGUUCGAGACGGCAGAAUACCAGUUGGUCCACUCCUGCACAAAACACAGUCGGCAACGUCAGUCGGCGGGACAAGAAAAGCAAUAAGUCUAAGAAGAUUAAAAGCACUCGACAAGAUGUGCUCACCUCAUUCGGAGGAGGAUUGUCGGCGCGGAAGGGCUUCACCCGUCGGGCUCCUUCGGGGUUAGCACACGCGCCUGUGAUGCCGCGGACCCACGCCCUCACACUCUCCCCGGUCACGCAUUCUGGAUGGGAUCGAGUGGAAUCCGAAGGCCCCGCGUAGUGCCACAUGGCGUGGUGUCGGGCUUGCAGCGGUUGGAUGCGACGAUCCAGAAAAGUCUCCAGCAGGUCCGUGUCAGUGACUCCUUUGCGGACGACGGCUAUCAGCGCGUCGACCAAAGGCUGGAUCUGGAUCCUUUCCCCCUUAGAGAGCGCAAGCUUCCUGGGAGGGCCCGGACGGUCUAGGCUAAAAGGUGGCAACCCACUCGAGGCAUUCGGACAAGCAAUGUCCUGGCAAUAGAACCAGGUCGAUUGCCAGUUCCUAACUGACUCGGACAACUGGAGGGGGUAGGUACUCUUUGUUUUCUUCUGGAAGCCUAAACCCCCGCAGAGCUGGAGGAGAUGGGUCUUAUCGUCCGACUGGCUAAGCUUUUUGAUGGUUUGGGAUCUAGCGGAGAAGACGUACUUAAAGAGGCCCCAGUGAGGGGGACAUUCAAUAAAGCACUCGCAAAGGGUGACGAAUGCAGCAAGGUGGGCUAUUGCGUUUGGAGGAAAAUGAUGGAGCUGCGCCCCGAAGUAAGUCAUGAUACCUCGGAAGAAGGGGUGGGGAGGCAAGGAGAAGCCCCUGAACACAUGGCUGAGCAGCAGAACACGCUCCCCCUCCUUCGGCACCGGCUCCGUCUCGCCUUCCGGCAGCCGCCAGGACUUGUUGACGAUCAUGCCAUGCUCCACCAACUCCAGCAAGUCGUCCUCCGUCACCGAGGAGGGAAGGAAAUCCCCUGGAUCCAACCCGCCAGCAGCGCCCGCUGCCGCCGCUGGGUAGGGGCCGCCCCCUUCUUUUUCUUCUUCUGCGACUCAAGUUUGCUGGUCUGCCCCUUCGUCAUGGCGAAGACGACGGAUCCGCAGAGGAGGAGGGGAAGGAGGAAGAUUGGGGCGUGCAGAGAGCUGCGGGAGGAGCGGGAUUAAUGCGAGGAAGAUGAGCAGCGCAACAGAGAAUCCCGCCGAAGAGGCUUAAAUAGGUUUCUGACUAGGUCACUAACAGGUGGACCGAAGAUCUUAUCCCCCCAACCGGCUGCUGCGAUGUUAGUGGAGAAGAUAAAGGCGCGGUAAUGGAGGAGGCGAAACCUACUCGAUGGUGAUGUCGUCAUCCCCGCUGAGCGCGCGGCAACCGAAAUUUGAGGAUCCCGGAAAAUCCAGCGCUGUCAGUUUGACCAGUCACGUCGAAAGAUUCCGCGGAAGCACUCGGUCCCUGACGGUUCGUUUCGCAGGUAUAUUCACUCGGAUCACUGGUUGAAGGGAUAACAUGGAUCGAGGCAAACAACGCUAAAGUCACCUCCAUACCAGUCGGUUCCAUACUCCAGACAUCACUUAAUCAUUCCAACCCAGAUCCAUUCGGGGACUAAUGAUGGGGUUAUAGUCCCAGGGUAGGGUCAUAGGCCUUCCCUAUAGGUCCUACCCAAGGACUACCCUUCACAGAGGACAAGGGCCUUAGACAGUUCCGACUAAACUAAGGACUCCACCAUCAUCCAGUCGGCGACGAGCACUCGGAGCAUAUUUAACAUACCGACUGGAAUCCACUCUAUACAUCGUAACCUCCCAGGAGGGCAACGGUCAUACCUUUCCAUACACCAUUAUUAACAUUUAAGGCUUACGUUACCUGUAACAUAGGCAUUUACUCGCCACUAUUCCACCCCUGUCCACUGGGCCAUUAUGAAGGGCAGCGCACUCUAUAUAAGCCGCCCUUCCCCGCUGGUGCAGGGGUUGGCAUUUACUGUAAUCCUAUAUUUCACUCGACACUAAGCUCCCAAGAGCACUGAGACGUAGGGCUUUUACCUCCACCGUAGAGGGGCCUGAACUCAUACGUCCUCGCCGUAGCUAAGGCUCUUCCCAUCCUUUCGUACCCCAUAUAUCUACUGUCAGACUUAUACCCAUGACACUAAGUGAAUGAUUUAUCUUUAUUAUACUAACCCAUCUCACGAAGUUCCGUUAAGUUUUGUGUGAUUGAAGUUUUCAAGUCUUGGGUGAGAUACCGAUAUGAUGAGAAUAAGGAGUGGAAAUACCCUAAGCUUGGGGAUGCCCAAGGCACCCCAAGGUAAUAUUCAAGGAAGACCCAAGCGUCUAAGCUUAGGGAAGCCCCGGAAAGCAUCCCCUCUUUCGUCUUCGAUACUAUCGGUAUAUCUUACUUGGAGCUAUAUUUUUAUACAUCACAAAAUUUGUGUUUGUUCUUGGAGUGUCAUUUUAUUUUUGUUCUAUGUCACAUGUUAUUUAUAAUCUUGCUUUUCACUAAAAAGUUCCAAGAAUUGCUUUUAGAAUGCUUGAAUUGCAUGUGUGAUUUGUGCUGUAUAAAAACAGAAACUAUUUCUGUAGUAUUUGAAUUAUGUAGUUUUACUAGAACGUGGCAAGUUUCUGAAAUUUGUACACAGCAGGUUCACACAAAUUAUUUAGUACUUCCUAAAUUUUCAUAAUUGUUGGAGAUACGGAAGUACACUGUUUCAAUAAUUUGCUACACACUGUCCUUUUUAGACAGAUUGCUGUCAUAGUUUUGUUAUCUACUUCUCCUAUAGUUUUCAUGACUUAUAUUGGUAGAUAUAAACUGUGAAGUGAUAUUAUAUAGUACCUAAUGUUUCAAAUUUAUUAUGCAACUUGUCUUGUCAGUACAUGAAGUGUUGAUUUAUUCUUAUGUGUACUAACCUAUCUCACCAGUUUUUUUCAAGUUUUGUGUGGAUGAAGUUUUUGAGACAUAGGUGAAACCGGGACAUGAGAGAAUUGCAUGAGAUACAAAAUUUCAAGCUUGGGGAUGCCCAAGGCACCCCAAGACAAUAUUACAAGAAGUCUCAAGUAUCUAAGCUUGGGGAUGCUACGCAUCCCACCUCUCUUCGUCAACUGCCGGUUAGCCUAUGUUGAGCCUAAAUUUUUAUUCGUUCAAAUGAUAUAUGCUAUUCCUGGAGUGCUAUUUUGUUUUGUCUGCGGUUUGAAUAAAAUAUCAAGAUCUAAAAAUAUUUACUGAUAAAGAGUCCUCAUAUAGCUACUUAAUUGUUUGACUACUCAUUGUGCUUCACUUAUAUCCCAAGAGUAAAACAUUGAAUGAAUUUAAUAUCAUAAAUGUGAAAUUAUAUAUAUGCUUCAUAUGCUUAUCCCAUGGGGAGUACUGACUUCACAUACUAGGAGUAUAAGCGGUAAAAUUUAUUGGGAGUUAGUAAACAUAACAUUGGUCAUUUAAAUGAUUCAUGAAAGAACAUUGAAGGAAGAGAGGUUUCACAUAUAGAUAUACUAUCUUGGACAUCUUCUAUGAUUGUGAGCCCCAUUAAUUAUUUUCAAACUUGAUCAAGUAGUUGACAUUGGACAAGAAAGACAACUUAAUGGUUAUGUUUGUUUAAAUUCACAUAGCAGUUAUAUUGUCAUGGAUCCUCUAACAUGUGGUGCUUGUUUAGAACCAUUUGCUAGCCAAAACUUCGUACUAAGUAGAGAUACUACUUGUGCAUCCAAAUCCUUGAACCUAGUUUCUUGCCAUGCAAGUCCACCAUAUCUACCUAUGGAUUGAAUAAGAUCCUUCAAGUAAGUUUUCAUCGCUGCAAAAAGUAAUAAAAAUUGCUCCAAAAUAUGUAUGAUCUUUUAUUGGAAGGGAAAAUAAGCUUUGAACAAACUUGAGAUGGUGAAGAAAUAAAAGCGACGGACUGCAUAAUAAAGGUUGCCAUCACAAGGGGCAAUAUAAAGUGACGUUCCUUUUCAUUAACAGAUUGCACAUCCAAAAAUAAAAAGUGCAUGGCAACCUCUCCUUCCCUCUAGGAAGGGCCUAUCUUUUACUUUUCAUGUAGCGUCAACUUCUAAUUCCAAUCUAUUAAUUUUUUAGUUGGCAAGCAUCGUGUAGUGGGGAAAGAUCUAGACACAUAUAUCCAAUUGAAUAUAGGUUGUCAUGAUUCAUUAUUUGUUGACAUUAUGCCCAAGAUAAAAAAGUUUGGAGGCAAAACUUUAAGCCCCUAUCUUCCUUGUGUUUGACUGAAACUGUUUGUUCUAAAAAUAUACUUUGGGUGUCGGCAAUCAUGGAAGACUAAAUGAUAGUUGAGUAUGUGCAAUUUGCUGAACCAAAGCUCUUACAUAGACCCUUUCUGAAAAUAAGAUGAAUUGUAAUUGUUUGAUGACUGAAACAUAGUUCGCUAUUUUUUUCAAGAAAGUUUAUGGUCUAUACUUUAACAUGUGAAUAACUUGCUACUCGAUCUUGAGAAGCUUUAUGAUAAAUACUUGCUCGUUAUGAUGCUAGAAAAAUGGCUGGAAUUAUCCUUGAUCAAUAUUAUACAUUAUGCUAGCAUUCACACUUCAUAAAUUAUUUCUUUUAUCAUUUACCUACUCGAUGACGAGUAGGAAUUAAGCUUGGGGAUGCUGAUACGUCUCCAAGUAUCGAUAAUUUAUGAAGUAUUCAUACCAUAUUUGCCUAUGUUUUUAAUAACUUUAUAUGCUAUUAAUGCACUUUAUAUGAUUUAUUUAGAACUAACCCAGACUGACGUUACUUUCAGCAGAAUUACCGUGGUGAUUUUUUUCUGUGGAGAAAAUGGAAGUUCUCGGAAUCACUUGAAAUUUUUUUAUGAUUUUUUCUCGAACAUAUGAGCAACGUUGGAGCGCAGAACCACCAAAGGAGGGUUGCCACAGAGGCACAAGACAACAGGGCAUGGCCUCGGCCUUGGUCGGGCCGUGAUGGCUUGUGGGGCCCACGUGGCUCCACUACGCAUGAUUCCAACGUUGAAAAAUCCUAUAAAUCCCAGAAACCCCAGAAAUAAAGAGAGAACUUCCGCUCCACCGCCGCAACUCUCUGUAUCGCCGAAAAACCAAUCUUGAGCGAUUCCAGUACCGUGCCAGAGAGGGAAAACCAUCACCGGUGUCCAUCUUCAUCAUCCCGGGGGAGGCCAUGAUGAGGAGGGAGUAGUUCACCCUCGAAGAUGAGGGUAUAUACCAGUAGCUAUGUGUUCAAUCUCUCUCUCUCUCUCAUGUUCUUGAGAUGGCACGAUCUCAAGAACAUGGGCUUUGUUAAUAUAGUUGGAUCAUGUGAUGUAUUUCCCUUACCAUCUAGUUGUGAUGAAUUGAGUCUUUUCCUUUAAGAUCUCCUCAUGUUGGAUUGAGCAUAUUGGUAUGACAACACUUGAUGUAAGUCUUGCAUGGGAUACCCGUAGUGACAUUGGGGUAUUCUAUUUAUUCACUUGAUAUAUGUUGAGGCAUCAACUUGCGGGUUCCGGUGACCUUGGGGAUCUAUGCAUAGGGGUUCAUUGCACGUUUUCAUACCAUGUUCUCCCAUAGAAAUCUUGGGGUGCUCCUUGCACGUUCUUUGUGUUGGACUGAAUAUCGUAGCUCUGAAAUUGUUUGAUGCAUGUCGCAUAAUUUACCCACCGAUACUUCAGGUGACAUUGGAGUAUCUAGGUGACAUUGGGGUCAAUUGAUAUGGAUCGUUGGUGUUAUUCUAGUACGAACUCUUAGAUAGAUCGAACGGAAACGAUAGCUUGAUGUUAUCUUAGUACGAACUCUUGAAUAGAUUGCACAGAAAGGAUAGUUUGAUGUUAUCUUACUACGAACCCUUUAAUAGAUUGAUCGGAAAGAAUAACUUUGAGGUGGUUCUACUACCUACACCAAUUUCAUCUUAUUGUUCUCCACUAGAUAGGAACUUUGGAGUGAUUCUUUGUUGCACGUUGAGGGAUCCAACUAUGUUAGCAUUGUUGAGAGAUUGCACUAUUGGAAGUAUGUACCCUAUGCCUUAUUUCCAAGCAUUAAUAAAACAUUGUGCUCGUUGUUUUCCAAUUGUUACCUUGCUGUUUUUAUAUUUUCGUAUUACAAAAAACUAUAUCUACCAUCCAUAUUGCACUAGGAUCACCAUCUCUUCUCCGAACUAGUGCACCUAUACAAUUUACCAUUGUAUUGGGUGUGGCGGGGACGGAAGAGAUUUCUUGUAUUUGAUUGCAGGGUUGCUUGAGAGAGACCAUCUUCAUCCUACACCUCCCAUGGAUUGAUAAACCUUAAGUCAUCCACCUAAGGGAAAAUUGCUACUAUCCUACAAAACUCUGCACUUGGAGGCCCAACACGAGUCCACAAGAAUAAAGUUGUGUAGUAGACACCAGAUAUCAUCAAUAAUGAUUGGGUUGGAUAAAAUAUCUUUCGGGCAAGAAGAAGUGAAGUGACCCUUCUCAUGACACAAGUAGCAACAUGUACCCUUUACUUUCUUCUCAAUUGUUUCUCAACUUGAGUAAUGGGUACUUCGGUCUUCUUGGGAAUAAGCCUUUAUUCCACUUGUGGUUGAGCAUGAGAUUGAACUCGUGGCCGAUUCCCUUGUUGCUUGUGACUAUGGGCCUUCGUCUUUAAUGGUCAGGAUCUAACAUGGCGCCCUUCAAUUUUGCACUUGAAGCAAACAAUCUUGGCCGAAUCCUUGACCUUUUCUUGGCCCUUAUUCUUGUUGCUCUUGGGCUUACUUUUCUUAUUGGAGUUGAAUCCAAGUCCACCUUUGUCAUUUGGGGAUUUUUUUUCCACACAAGAUAUUGUUGAGUGUGGACAUUCCUUCAUGACUCUUUUCCAAGUCUUUCUUCAAGGAAGUGACUUGGGCCAUGAGCUCUUUGAUUUCCUCUGCAUGGUUAGCAUCAACACAAGUACUAGAGUAAGUGUAAGCUUCAUUUUUAGAGCAACAAGGCAAGGAAAGUAUUUCAUCACAAGAUGUAGCAACAUUAUCAGUAGAUGAAUUUCGAGGACUAGCACAUGUCAAUAAAGCAUUUUGACUAAAUGUAGUGCUAAUUUCCACAUGAGGCUCGCUAGAUGUUACCUUAGUAGUACUAGCCUCAUGAGCUAGUCGUAGCACAUUAUUGGAUACUAGAAGAUCAUCAUGAGAGCUUGUGAGCAUUACAUGACUUUGUUCCAAUUUCCCAUAAUUGCUAGAUAGAAAUUCAAGUUGACACCUAAGCUCAAUAUUCUCCUUUAAUAUGGAUGCUUCGCAAGAAAUAGAGUUAGUAGCACAAGCAUCAUUAUUAACAAUAAGAGGAGAAGGAAACUUGGCAAGCUCUCUUUCACAUGAAGUUUCAAGUUGAGCAUGAGACUUGGUGAGUUUGAUGAGUGAACUCUUAAUGACACUUGAGCCAUUUUCAAGGUGCUCAAAGUCCUCAAGGAGUUUAGCAUGUGAAACUUCAAGCUUAUCAUUUUUAGUUCUACAAUCAUUAGACACCCCAAGAGCUCUAUCAUGGGAUUCUUUAAUCUAGAUAAUUCUAGAGCAAAGGUCUCCUCAAGAGAUUCCUUGGUGGUUUGUUCAUUUUCAAGCUUGAGAUAGCUCCGCGAUCUCAUUAGAGUAAUCACGCUCAUGACCUUCCAUUUUCUCAAUGGUGGACUCAUGCUCCUCAAGAUGAUCUUCCAACUCCUGAAUAUAUUUCUUGCCCUCAAUGGCAAUAGACAUGAUUUCCAUGAACUUGGAAUGAGCAAGAUUAUUCUUAUGAAGAGCUUUAAAAAUGAUUUCACCCCUAAUUUUUAAGGAUGCAAUAUUAUCACUCUCUUCAUCAUUAUCCUCAUCCUCAUCCUCAUUAUCAUCAACAUCAUCAGCAUGAGAUACAUUGGGAUUCAAAGUAGGAGAUACCUUCGAAGCCUUAGCCAUAAGACAAAAGUGAGAAACAAUAGAUGAUGAUGUAGGAUCCCUUGAAGCAUCAUUCAAGGCCACAUCUUGUUCCUUGGAGUGAUGGAUUUCUCUACAUUCUUACCACAACAACCCAAGGAAAUAGAUACAUUUUUAUCAUGGCAACAAGAUAUAUCAAGCAUGUCAUCAUGAGAUUUAGUCAAAGAAUUCCUACAUGAUAUGCAUGGACUAUCAACACAAGCAUGCGACACAUUUAGAGUGCUCGAAGUUUUAACGUCCAAAGGUGAAGCAUUGCAAUAAGAUAGAGAUGAAGGAUCAUCAACAAUAAGCCCACUAUCGUCAUUGCUAUGAUCACCACUACUCACCAUAUCAUUACCUUGUGACAAUCCACAUGUAGGUGAAGUAUAUGAAGUUGAGAAGACAACAUGACCGGAGGUGGAGGGAGAACAAUCAUCCCUACAAGUCUUGGACAAACCAUAUUUAUCUUAAAGUUCUGUCCAUGACUCAUGAGCAUCCCGUGACGGCAUGAGUUGAAAUGUUACUACAUUGCCCAAAGCAUCAAAAAGCAUAUAAUAAGCUUGAGCAUUUAUAUAAGAGUUUUUUUCAUCCUCUAAAUAAAGGUAUUAAGAAUCCUUUGGAGGAAAAAACCCAUAUCUACCAUUGCCCUAAAUUAGGGUACAUGACCCUAAAGAUAUUAAGCAUGCAAAUUACCCAAGCAUCAAAUUUUGUGUCAUCGAAACAAAGAGUGUGAGAGAAUCCUAAACAUCUAGUCGACAUCCUUACUCUCUAGGUGGUGAAUGUUGGAAAUAUGCCCUAGAGGCAAUAAUAAAUUGGUUAUUAUUAUAUUUCCUCAUUCAUAAUAAUCGUUUAUUAUCCAUGCUAGAAUUGUAUUCAUUGGACACUCAAAUACAUGUGUGGAUACAUAGAAAACACAUUGUCCCUAGUGAACCUCUAGUUAACUAGCUCGUUGAUCAAAGAUGGUCAAGGUUUCCUGGCCAUAGACAAGUGUUGUCACUUGAUAACGGGAUCACGUCAUUAGGAGAAUGAUGUGAUGCACAAUAUCCAAACUAUAAACGUAGCAUAUGAUCGUGUAUGUUUAUUGCUACUAUUUUCUGCAUGUCAAUGUAUCUGUUCCUAUGACUGGAUUCGUAUAGUGUGAUGCAGCACAGGAGCAGUAAGUAUUUCCCUUAGUUUAAGAACCAAGGUAUCAAUCUAGUAGGAGAAUCUCGUCAAGUCCAGAGUACAUGCGCAAACACAAAAGAGCUUGCACCCAACGCUUUAAAGGGGUAUUCAAUCCCUUCAAGAUUGAUUGCAAAGUGAGAUCUGAAGGCGGAAAGUGCAACGAAGUAAUUAGUGUAAGGCUGAAAAUAUGGUGUGGAAUAGACCCGGGGGCCACAGUGUUCACUAGAGGCUUCUCUCAAAAUAGUAAAUAUCACGGUGGGUGAACAAAUUACUGUCGAGCAAUUGAUAGAACCGCGCAAAGUCNNNNNNNNNNNNNNNNNNNNNNNNNNNNNNNNNNNNNNNNNNNNNNNNNNNNNNNNNNNNNNNNNNNNNNNNNNNNNNNNNNNNNNNNNNNNNNNNNNNNNNNNNNNNNNNNNNNNNNNNNNNNNNNNNNNNNNNNNNNNNNNNNNNNNNNNNNNNNNNNNNNNNNNNNNNNNNNNNNNNNNNNNNNNNNNNNNNNNNNNNNNNNNNNNNNNNNNNNNNNNNNNNNNNNNNNNNNACUCGAAGAGAAUUACGAGGAUAUGAAAUCAUGCAUAAGAGAUAUCAAAAGAAACUCAAAUAAUAUUCUUAGAUAAUCUGAUCAUAAAUCCACAAUUCAUCGGAUCUCGACAAACACACCGCAAAAGAAGAUUACAUCGGAUAGAUCUCCUUGAAGAUCAUGGAGAACUUUGUAUUGAAGAUCCAAGAGAGAGAAGAAGCCAUCUAGUUACUAGCUAUGGACCCGUAGGUCUAUGGUGAACUACUCACGCAUCAUCGGAGAGGUCAUGGUGUUAAUGAAGAAGCCCUUGGUAUCUGAAUCUCCCCUCCGGCAGGGCACCAGAACGUGCCCCAGAUGGGAUCUUGCGGAGACAGAAACUUGCGGUGGCGGAAAAGUACUUUCGAUGAUCUCCUGAUUUUUUAUGGAUAUUUAGGGAAUAUAUAGGCACAAAACCUAGGGAAAAGGAGCCUCAGGGAGCCCUCAACCCUGGUGGCUGCCACCCCCCCCCUUGGCCGCGCCGUGAGGGCUUGUGGGGUCCCUGGUGGCCCCCUGCCCUAAUUCUCCGGCUCUCCGAUAUUUUUCUGUUCUGGAAAAAAUCUUUUUGGCAGCUUCAUUCCGUUUGGACUCCGUUCAAAAUCCUCCUCUGAAAAGGGUCAAAAACAUGGGACAAACAGGAACUGGCUCUUGGCAGUGAGUUAAUAAGUUUGUCCUAAAAAAUAUAUAAAAGGCAUGCAAAACAUCCAAAGUUUGACAAGAUAAUAGCAUGAAACCAUCAAAAAUUAUAGAGAUGUUGGAGACGUAUCAAGCAUCCCCAAGAUUAACUCCUGCUCGUCCUCGAGUAGGGAAGUGAUAAAGAAUGAAUUUUUGAUGUGGAAUGCUACCUAGCAUAGUUGUCCUUUGCAACUUCUUUCACGUGUCAUGAAUGUUCAGAUCCGUAAGAUUCGAAACAAUAGUUUGCUAUUGACAUGAAAACAAUAAUACUUCAAGCAAACUAGCAAAGUAAUUAUGAACUUUCAAAAUAACAUGGCCAAGGAAAGUUAUCCCUACAAAUUCAUAUAGUCUGGCUAUGCUCCAUCAUCCUCACACAACUAAUGUAAAUCAUGCACAACCCCGGUAUUGGCCAAGUAAUUGUUUUCACACUCUUACUUUCUCAAACUUUUUAUAACUAUCACGCAAUACAUGAGCGUGAGCCGUGGAUAUAGCACUAUAGGUGGAAUAGAGUGUGGUGGUGGUUGUGAGACAAAAAGGAGGAUAUGGUCACAUUGACUCGGCGUAUCAAAGCGCUAUGGAGAUGCCCAUUAAUAGAUAUCAAUGUGAAUGAGUAGGGAUUGCCAUACAAGAGAUGCACUAGAGCUAUAAGUAUGUGAAAGCUCAAAAGGAGAACUAGUGGGUGUGCAUCCAACUUGCUUGCUCACGAAGACCUAGGGCAAUUUUGAGGAAGCCCAUCAUUGGAAUAUACAAGCCAAGUUAUAUAAUGAAGAUUCCCACUAGCAUAUGGUAGUGACAAAGCAAGAAGCUCUCAAUCAUGAAGAACAUGGUGCUAUUAUGAAGCACAAGCGCGGAAAAGGAUAGUAGCAUUGUCCCUUCUCUAUUUUUCUCUCUUUUUUUAUUAUUUGGGCUCUUGGGCCUCUUUUUUUCUUUUUUUCUCUUUUUUUAUUUUUGGGCUCGUUGGCCUCUUUUUUUCCUCACACGGGACAAUGCUCUAAUAAUGAUGAUCAUCACACUUUUAUUUACUCACAGCUCAAAGCUCAAAAUGAUGGUGACUCUAUAGGAAAUGCCUCCGGCAGUGUACCGAGAUGUGCAACGAUCUAGCUUGACGUAUGACGUUGAAACAUCUCGCUAGCUAUCUUACGAUCAUCCAAUGGCAAUAUGAGAGUGGCGGCAUAAGUCAUGAGAUGGAACGGUGGGAGUUGCAUGGCAAUAUAUCUCGGAAUGGCUAUGAAAAUGCCAUAGUAGGUAGGUAUGGUGGCUGUUUUGAGGAAGGCAUAUGGUGGGUUUGUGUACCGGCGAGAAUUGUGCGGCACUAGAGAGGCUAGCAAUGGUGGAAGGUGAAAGUGCAUCUAUACCAUGGACUCACAUUAGUCAUGAAGAACUCACAUACUUGUUGCGAAAGUUUUUAUUAGUAAUCGAAACAAGGUGCUAAACGCAUACUCCUAGGGGAAGGGUUGGUAGGUGUUAACCAUCGCGCGAUCCCGACCUCAACACAAAGGAUGACAAUCAAUAGAUCAAUUGUGCUCUGACUUCCUAACAUAGCGGUUCACCAGACGUGCAUGCUACGGGAAUCACUAACUUCAACACAAGUAUUUCUAGAUUCACAAAACCCUACUAACAUAGCUCUUAAUAUUACCAAAUCCACGCCUCAAAACUAAUUGAGAGGAAUCAAAACUUCUCUUUCUACUCAAUACACAUGAAGAUGGAGGUUUUGUAUCCUCUUUGGGUACCUAUCACCUUUGGGACUACUUUCAUAGCAUAAGCCAACUACCAAGUCACGCACUGCCGUGCUCUAAAAGAUAUAAGUGAAGCACAUAGAGCAAAAGUAUCUAGCUCAAAAGAUAUAAGUGAAGCACUAUGAGCAUUCUAGCAAAAUCAUGAUGAGUGCAUGUCUCUCUCUCUCAAAAAAGGUGUGCAGCAAGGAUAAUUGUGACACAACAAAAAGAAAAGACUCCUACGAUACAAGACGCUCCAAGCAAAACGCAUAUCAUGUGGUGAAUAAAAAUAUAGCUCCAAGUAAUGUUACCGAUGGAUUGAAGACGAAAGAGGGGAUGCCUUCCCGGGGCAUCCCCAAGCUCAGGCUUUCUGGUGCCCUUUAAUUUGGCUUGGAAUGCCUUGGGCAUCCCCAAGAUUGAGCUCUUUCCACUCCUUAUCUCAUCAUCCAUGAGAACAUCACCCAAAACUUGAAAAUUUCACAACACAAAACUUAAACAGAUACUCGUGAUAACAUUAGCACAAGAAAACAAACUACCACUUCUUUUGGUACUGUAGCAAACUUGAAUUCUAUCUAUAUUGGUGUUGGGCUACUGUAUUCUCACUUUUCCAUGGCUAGUACCCCCCCCCCCCCGAUACUAACCAUAGUUUCAUCAAAACAAGCAACCAACUCAACAAAAACAGACCAGUCUGUAGCAAUCUGUAUGCUUUGUAUACUUCUGGUACCUCAAAAAUCUGAAAAAUUACGACUGCCUGGGAAAAAGGCGUAUCAACCAUCAGCAAAAAGAAUCAACUCAAAAGCUCUUUCUGAAUAAAAAUGAAAAAUCAUCUCGUGAGCAAAAAGUUUAUGUCUUUUUCCAGCAGGAUCAAACAACCAUCACCAAGACUAGUCAUAAAGAUUUUGCUUGGCUCAAACACAAAAAGAAACACAAAAAACACAAUCACAACAGAAUUAUGAUGGUGUGGACACAACAAAAGAGAAAGAAAAAGAUAAAUUUAUUGGGUUGCCUCCCAACAAGCACUAUUGUUUAACGCCCUUAGCUAGGCAUUGGCAAUUCAAUGAUGCUCACACAAAAGACAAGAAUUGAAGCACAACGAGAGCAUCAUAAAGCAUGUGAAAAUCACAUCUAAGUAUAACAUACUUCCUAUGCAUGGGCAUUUUAUAGGAAAACAGAUUGUCAAGACAACCAAUAGUUACCAUAUGCAAGGGAGAAGAAAGAGACAAUAGCAAUCUCAACAUAACGAGAGGUGAUUUAGUGAUAUGAAAGUUUCUACCACCAUAUUUUCCUCUCUCAUAAUAAUUACAUGUGGGAUCAUAUUCGAAUUCAACAAUGUAACUAUCACAUAGGAUAUUCUUUUCAUGAUCCACAUGCAUGCAAAGUUGAUGCUCUUCAAAAAUAGUGGGAUAGUCAUCAACUAAAGUCAUGACUUCUCCAAACCCACUUUCAAUAAUAUUGCAAAUAUCAUAUUCAUCAUGAGGCUUAAAAAAUUCAAGAGUAUAAGAAAAAUCAUCACCCCACUCAUGAUCAUUGCAACAAGUAGUGGACAUAGCAAAACUAGCAUCCCCAAGCUUAGGGUUUUGCAUAUUCUUAGCACGAUUGUCACUAAUAGAAUUUAUAGUGAAACCAUUGCAAUCAUGCUUUUCAUCCAAGGAGCCCUCGUGAAUCACUUCAUNNNNNNNNNNNNNNNNNNNNNNNNNNNNNNNNNNNNNNNNNNNNNNNNNNNNNNNNNNNNNNNNNNNNNNNNNNNNNNNNNNNNNNNNNNNNNNNNNNNNNNNNNNNNNNNNNNNNNNNNNNNNNNNNNNNNNNNNNNNNNNNNNNNNNNNNNNNNNNNNNNNNNNNNNNNNNNNNNNNNNNNNNNNNNNNNNNNNNNNNNNNNNNNNNNNNNNNNNNNNNNNNNNNNNNNNNNNNNNNNNNNNNNNNNNNNNNNNNNNNNNNNNNNNNNNNNNNNNNNNNNNNNNNNNNNNNNNNNNNNNNNNNNNNNNNNNNNNNNNNNNNNNNNNNNNNNNNNNNNNNNNNNNNNNNNNNNNNNNNNNNNNNNNNNNNNNNNNNNNNNNNNNNNNNNNNNNNNNNNNNNNNNNNNNNNNNNNNNNNNNNNNNNNNNNNNNNNNNNNNNNNNNNNNNNNNNNNNNNNNNNNNNNNNNNNNNNNNNNNNNNNNNNNNNNNNNNNNNNNNNNNNNNNNNNNNNNNNNNNNNNNNNNNNNNNNNNNNNNNNNNNNNNNNNNNNNNNNNNNNNNNNNNNNNNNNNNNNNAAUUACAAGGAUAUGAAAUCAUGCAUAAGAGAGAUCAGAAGAAACUCAAAUAAGAUUCAUAGAUAAUCUGAUCAUAAAUCCACGAUUCAUCGGAUCUCGACAAACACACCGCAAAAGAAGAUUACAUCGGAUAGAUCUCCAUGAAGAUCAUGGAGAACUUUGUAUUGAAGAUCCAAGAGAGAGAAGAAGCCAUCUAGUUACUAGCUAUGGACCCGUAGGUCUAUGGUGAACUACUCACGCAUCAUCGGAGAGGUCAUGGUGUUGAUGAAGAAGCCCUCGGUAUCCGAAUCUCCCAUCCGGCAGGGCACCAGAACGUGCCCCGGAUGGGAUCUUGCAGAGACCGAAGCUUGCGGCGGCGGAAAAGUACUUUCGAUGAUCUCUUGGUUUUUAUGGAUUUUUAGGGAAUAUAUAGGCGCAAAACCUAGGGCAAAGGAGCCUCAGGGAUCCCACAAGCCUGGUGUCCGCCCCCCCCCCCCNNNNNNNNNNNNNNNNNNNNNNNNNNNNNNNNNNNNNNNNNNNNNNNNNNNNNNNNNNNNNNNNNNNNNNNNNNNNNNNNNNNNNNNNNNNNNNNNNNNNNNNNNNNNNNNNNNNNNNNNNNNNNNNNNNNNNNNCCCCCCCCCCUGGCCGCACCGUGAGGGCUUGUGGGGUCCCUGGUGGCCCCCUGCCCUGAUUCUCCGGCUCUUCGAUCUUUUUCUGUUCCAGAAGAAAUCUUUUUGGUUGUUUCAUUCCGUUUGGACUCCGUUCAGAAUCCUCCUCCGAAAGGAGUCAAAAACAUGGAAAAAACAGGAAUUGCCUCUUGGCACUGAGUUAAUAAGUUAGUCCCAAAAAAUAUAUAAAAGGCAUGCAAAACAUCCAAAGUUUGACAAGAUAAUAGCAUGAAAGUAUCAAAAAUUAUAGAUACGUUGGAGACGUAUCAUGGAGCAGUCAUUUGGAAUAGUUCCAAAUGGAGCGUGGUAGCAGCAUCUAUAUGAUGACAUGGAGAUUUCGAAAGCACACACCGAUCUGAAAGGUUCAGACCCCUUGACUAAAAACCUCUCUCACAAGCAAGACAUGAUCGAACCCACAACUAUAUGGGUGUUAGAUUCAUUACAAUCCCAUGGUGAUGUGAACUAGAUUAUUGACUCUAGUGCAAGUGGGAUCUUGUUGGAAAUAUGCCCUAGAAGCAAUAAUAAAUUGGUUAUUAUUAUAUUUACUUGUUCAUAAUAAUCAUUUAUUAUCCAUGCUAGAAUUGUAUUGAUUGCAAACUCAAAUACAUGUGUGGAUACAUAGACAACACACUGUCCCUAGUGAACCUCUAGUUGACUAACUCAUUGAUCAAAGAUGGUCAAGGUUUCCUGGUGAUAGACAAGUGUUGUCACUUGAUAACGGGAUCACUUCAUUAGGAGAAUGAUGUAAUGGACAAGACUCAAACUAUAAAUGUAGCAUAUGAUCGUGUCAGUUUAUUGCUACUGUUUUCUGCAUGUCAAUGUAUCUAUUCCUAUGACCAUGAGAUCAUGCAACUCCCGGACACCAGAGGAAUACCUUGUGUGUAUCAAACGUCGCAACAUAACUGGGUGACUAUAAAGGUGCUCUACACGUAUCUCCGAAGGAGUCUGUUGGGUUGGCAUGGAUCAAGACUGGGAUUUCUCACUCCGUGUCAAAGAGGUAUCUCGGGGCCCACUUGCUAAUACAACAUCACAANAAGCCUUGCAAGCAAUAUGACUAAGGAGUUAGUCACAGGAUCUUGUAUUACGGNNNNNNNNNNNNNNNNNNNNNNNNNNNNNNNNNNNNNNNNNNNNNNNNNNNNNNNNAGNNUAUCUCGGGGCCCACUCGGUAAUACAACAUCACACACAAGCCUUGCAAGCAAUAUGACUAAGGAGUUAGUCACAGGAUCUUGUAUUACGGAACGAGUAAAGAGACUUGUCGGUAACGACAUUGAACUAGGUAUAGAGAUACCGACGAUCGGAUCUCGGGCAAGUAACAUACCGAAGGACAAAGGGAACUGCAUACUGGAUUAACUGAAUCCUUGACAAAGUGGUUCAACCGAUAAAGAUCUUCGUAGAAUAUGUAGGAUCCAAUAUGGACGUCCAUGUUCCGCUAUUGGAUAUUGACCGAAGAGUGUCUCGGUGAUGUCUGCAUAGUUCUCGAACCCGCAGGGUCUGCACACUUAAGGUUCGGUGAAGUUUCGGUAUAGUUGAGUUAUAGGUGUUGGUGACCGAAGGUUGUUCGGAGUCCCGGAUGAGAUCCUGGAUGUCAUGAGGAGCUUCGGAAUGGUCUGGAGGUAAAGACUGAUAUAUAGGAAGUCCAGUUUUGGUCACCGAAAGGUAUCAGACUCAUCGGUAGUGUAUCGGGAGUGCUCGGAGGGUGUGGGGGGACAAAACUAAUGUUCACACCCUUGCAGAUGCUAAAAUAAUAAUGGUUUAGGCUUGAACAAAUGCGGAAUAAAACUAAUGUUUAAGUAGUCAAGUACAAAACCUAAAACAACUAGGCUCACCUAUGUGCACCAACAACUUAUGCUAAGCAAGAUAAACAACCAAGUGAUAGCAAGAUAUACAACAAGAAACAAUAUGGAUAUCACAAAGUAAAGUGCAUAAGUAAAGGGCUCGGGUAAGAGAUAACCGAGGCAUGCAGAGACGAUGAUGUAUCCCUAAGUUCACACCCUUGCAGAUGCUAAUCUCCAUUUGCAAUGGUUUGGAGGCAUAAUGCUCCCCAAGAAGACACUAGGGACACGGUAAUCUCCUAAAGCCCUCGCACAAUGUAACAUGCCGUGAUUCCACUAAGGGACCCUUGAGGGUGGUCACCGAACCCGUACAAACAAGGUUGGGACAAUCUCCACAACUUAAUUGGAGGCUCCCAACAACACCACGAAGCUUCACCACAAUGGAUUGUGGCUCUAAGAUGACCUCAAAUUCUCGGGGCAAUCUCCACAACCUAAUUGGAGACCCCAACACUUUCCCGGAGCAUUACACCACAAUGACUGAGCUCCGAGUCACCACCAAACUUCUAGGAUGCCAAAGCACCCAAGAAGAACAAGCUCUAGGGUACUGAUGACGAGAUGAUGUAUAUACUUCUCGCUCCUUGUUGGUUACCCCAAGUGGAAGGUUGAGAUGUAGUGAGCAGCAAGUUUUCCCUCACGCGGAGAUUGUGAGGUUUAUCGAACCAGGAGGACUCCUAGGAUCAACAAGUAGGUGUAUUCCACACUGGCGCUAUCACAAGACGUGGACCUGCACACACAACAAAUAACUUUUCUCCCAACGAGUAUAGAGAGGUUGUCAAUCUCUCCGGCCUUGUAGUUUGCAAAGGAUCAAAACACAAGCGGGAAGGUAAUAGUGAUUGCAACGGAAAAGUAAAUGAAAGCAGUAAAUGGUGGAGGUGUAAACAAUGAUGGUGAUAUGGACCAGAGUCACAUGAUGUUCACUAGUGAUGUCUCUCUCCCAAAAGACGAUAAACAACUAUGCUUGGGUAAACAAAUCACAGUUGGGCAAUUGACGGAAUUAUGAAGGCACCGCAAUGCUAAUUAUGCUACUUGAUAGUUAGAGGUUCAAUAGUAAUGGGCAGUAUGCCAAGAAAAGUAGACCGUUUAUUCAUCAGCAUCUACUUAUGAAAGUGCGUUAUAUCGACUAGAGGGGGUGGAUAGGCGAUUUUUAGAAUUUCAUCGCUGAGGAAAUUCCUUUUGAGGAAAUUCCUCACUGAUGAAUAACUUGCAGCGGAAACAGCAAAGGAUUAGAAAUGCAAAGACUACAAUAGCAGUUUUCUUGAUGAGGAUUAUGAAAAAUAGUUUGAACAGUACGCAGGCACAGAGUAAGCAGGUGAGGAUUAACGGGAUGUGAAGAAUUUGGGUUGGGGAAGUUCAGAGAAAACCUUCAGCAAAUUCUUCAAACAGAGACAAUGAAAGUCUUCAACAUACAAUAUUGAGGAAUUGAAAGAGUUGAAGAAAUAGAACCCAUAUGACAGUGAAGAUAGUUGUUGAUGACCGAGUUCCAACUGCUAUGACAGUCGUGCGUCUGGUUUGGAGCGGCUUGGCAUUGAAACUAGUCCCUACCGUACUGUCCUUGAGCUAAGGACACACAGUCCUCGCCCAAUACUCGUGGUAAGUCUUCAGGGCAGACUUCCAAACCCUCACAAACUCGGUCACCCAGCGAUCCACAAUUGACUACUGGAUUGCUCUAGACCAUGACGCCUAACCGUCUGGAGGAUGCACAAUCCUCAAAGGUAAAAGGCUUCAGUUCCACACAGGAACAAACUCUUCAGUGAUGGUCAAUCGCUUGGUUUUUGGUUUGUGGUUUGGUGUUUGGGGUAUUUCCUCACUCAUGAUUUACUCUCGAAGAAUCUGAGGAAUUUCGGUUGCUCUAAAUGACAAGUGUCAGUUUCUCGCGGAGCAGCCAACCAGCUAAUGGUUGUGGGGGGCUAUUUAUAGCCUGGGAGCAUCCCGACAUGAUUUGACAUAAAUUCCCUUAAAUAUUAUGACCAUUGGUGUAGAUAAGGUCGGUGAGGUGGCGCGAAUCGCGGCAACGGUCGGGACUCUCAACAGUGAGAGACCUCAUGUCUCUCAUAUUCCUCACUUGAGGCUUUUGUAGGAUUAGGCUUGGGUUGAGCAUCAUGAGAAAAUUCAUUCCGUAGUGGUACCUUGACCCCCUUUAACAGUAUGGUGUUCCUAUGACUCAAGAGUGAAGAAAAUGAAACAGAAAGAAAAUCUUCAUGCUUCAAAGUCUUCGGACUGAUUUUCUUUAGGACACACCGAGUUCCUCGUCUUUAGUAUCUUCAUGAGGAAUAUCAAUUUCUUCGCAAUCCAAAUCUUCAGCAUAAGACCAAUUUCUUCAGCCGAAGAUAUACAAUUUUAGGGGUCGAUAUACAAUUUUAGUGUGAAGCUUUUGAGCGAGUGAUAUUUCCUUUGAGGACAUGAUCCCGAAGAAAGUGAUGACGAUUCUGGAUGUGCUUAGUCUUCGAGUGUUGUACUGGGUUGUAUGCAAUCUUUAUUGCACUCUCAUUGUUGCAGUAGAAAAGCAUAUUCUUCAUGUUGAUGCCAUAGUCCAUGAGGUUUGCUUCAUCCAUAGCAAUUGAGCACAGCAGGAUCCAGCAGCAAUGUACUUAGCUUCAGCAGUGGAGAGAGAAACACAUUUCUGCUUCUUUGAGGACCAAUAGACUAAUGAUCUUUUGAGGAAAUGACAAGUGUUAUAAGUUGACUUGCGAUCCACACGGUCACCAGCAUAGUCAGAAUUAGAAUAUCCCAAAAGAUGAAGAUUUGAGCCCUUAGGGUACCAUAAUCCUGGUGUUGCUGUGUGAGCUAAGUAUCGAAGAAUAUGCUUCACAGCCUGAUGGUGUGAUUCCUUCGGUUUUGCUUGAAAACGAGCACAGAUGCAAACACUAAGCAUUAUAUCUGGCCUAGAUGCACAUAGAUACAAUAAAGAGCCAAUCAUCGAGCGAUAUACCUGUUGAUCAAAAUCUUUACCAUUUUCGUUAGUGCAGAGGUGGCCGUUGGUAGGCAUGGGAGUCUUGGCGCCUUUGCAUUCAUGCAUGUCGAAUUUCCUCAGAACAUCCUUGAGGUAUUUCUCGUGUCAUAUGAAGAUGCCAUUGCAUUGUUGACAAAUUUGAAGACCUAAGAAGAAUUUCAGCUCCCACAUCAUAGACAUCUGAUAUUCUUCACUCAUCAUGUAAGCAAAUUCAUCACUGUAACGUUUGUCAGUACAACCAAAUAUGAUGUCAUCGACAUAUAUUUCGCACGCAAAUAGUUCAUUGUCAUAGGAUUUUGUGAAAAGAGUUGGAUCGAGUGAACCAGGUUUGAAGCCUUUCUUCAUGAGGAAUUCUUUCAAUGUAUCAUACCACUCCUGAGGGGCUUGCUUGAGGCCAUAGAGUGCCUUUUUGAGUCUGAAGACGUUGCCUGGAUUCUUAGGAUCCUCAAAACCUAGGGGCUGAGCAACAUAUACUUCUUACUCAAGUUUACCAUUGAGGAAUGCACUUUUCACAUCCAUUUCAUAUAAAGUAAUGUUAUGAUAAUUUGCAUAAGCAAGUAGAAUUCGAAUAGCUUCAAGUCUAGCAACAGGUGCAAAAGUUUCAUCGAAAUCAAUUCCUUCAACCUGCGUGUAGCCUUGGGCUACAAGUCGUGCCUUAUUCCUCACCACUUGACCAUCCUCAUCUUGCUUGUUUUGGAAAAUCCACUUGGUGCCGAUGAUAUUGUGCUUGCAAGGAUCUGGUCGUUUGACGAGCUCCCACGCGUCAUUUAGCUUGAAUUGAAGAAGUUCAUCUUGCAUGGCUUCAAUCCACUCAGGUUCCAUGAAAGCCUCGGCAACUUUUGAAGGUUAUGUGAUAGACACAAAAGAGGAAUGCCCACAAAAGUUAACUAAGUGUGAAGUUGAUGUCAUUGAGGAUUUUUUCAAGUUCUACUUCAUUUGCAAUCCUCGGAUGAGCUGGUUGACGAUUUCGUUUGGGCCGAGGAAUUUGCUCUGGAGCAAUUUCCUCAGGAGCAUCUUCUUGGAUUUCAUCAGUACUUGGGACGAUUUCUUCAGCAAUGUCCUCAGUAGGGACAAUGUCUUCAAUAGCUUUGAACUUGAUUGCUUCCUCAGGAGAUAAUUUAUCUGGAUCAGGAGGCAAUUGCUCUCUUUGCGAGCCAUGAGUUUCAUCGAACCGCACAUCUACAGUUUCAACAACCUUGCUACGAUGGGUGUUGAAGACUUUGUAGGUGUGCAAAUCCUUUCCAUAACCAAGCGUAAAACCCUCAUGCGCUUUAGGUGCAAAUUUUGAGCUAUGGUGAGGAUCUCUAAUCGAGCAUCUUGCAUCGAAGAUUUUGAAAUAAAUUACAUUGGGUUUCUUGUCAGUGAGGAGUUCAUAUGAGGUUUUCUUGAGGAAUUUGUGAAGAUAUACCUUGUUGAUGAUAUGGCAAGCAUUGUUGAUUGCUUCACGCCAGAAUCGACGAGGAGUCUGAUAUUCUUCAAGCAUAGUCCAUGCCAUUUCAACUAGAGUCAUGUUCUUUCUUUCAACGACGCCAUUAUGUUGAGGAGUAUAAGGAGCAGAUAAUUCAUGAGUAAUACCAAGUUCAUCAAGAUAAUCAUCAAGACCAGUGUUUUUGAAUUAUGUCCCACUAUCACUCCUGAUGUGUUAGAUCUUGACGCCAAAGUUCGUCGAGGCCCUUGAGGAAAAUCGUUUGAAGACUUCCUACACUUCAGUUUGAUACAGAAUGAUAUGAACCCAAGUAUAUCUAGAAUAAUUAUUAACUAUGACAAAGCUGUAUAAAGAUGUUGCAUUUGUUAGAGUGGCAUAAUGAGCAGGUCCAAAUAGAUCCAUGUGAAGCAAAUGGACGAGUAGUAGUCAUGAUAGUCUUUGAGGGGUGUUCGGAUCUGGUCAUUUUUUUAGACUCGCAAGCACCGCACAGGUGGUCCUUGAGGAAUUUGACUGAUUCGAUGCCAAUGACAUGCUUCUUCUUCGCCAGUGUGUGCAAAUUCCUCAUGCCAGCAUGACCAAGUGUUCGAUGCCAUAGCCAGCCUUCUGAGGUUUUUGCUAGUAAGCAUGUGGCUGGUUGAGGACCUGUGGAAAAGUCAACAAUGUACAAAUCUCCUCUCCUAACACCUUCGAAGACUUUGGAUCUGUCAGAUUCCAUGAUGACUACACAUCUAUAUUUUCCAAAGAUAACAACCAUAUCAAGAUCACAAAGCAUUAAGACUGACAUGAGGUUGAACCCAAGGGAUUCAACAAGCAUCACUUUUUCCAUGUGCCUAUCCUUGGAGAUAGCCACUUUGCCAAGUCCCAAUACCUUGCUUUUACCUUUGUCAGCAUAAGUGAUUUGCUUCAGUGGUGAUGGAAUCAGUGGCAUAUUCAUCAGCACGCUUUUUUCACCAGUCAUGUGGUGUGUGCAGCCACUAUCAAGAACCCACUCAGUACUCUUGGGUUUGUCAUCCUGCAGAUGAAUUAGUACAGCUUACCAUCUCAUAUGCUUCACACUUGAAGAAUAUGAUAUCAAUUUCAUCACAUAGGAAUUUCAUCAUAAACAGUAAAUUUUAGGAUGUGUGAAAUGUUAUCAUUUCAUCAAUUUCAUCAGAUAGGAAUUCCAAUCAAGCAUUUUCCUCAGGUCUCCAGUAAAUUCUCCAGAUGAUAAUUUUCAUCUCGAGACAUGGGCUGCAGAAGUGAUUAGUUCAAUUUCUUCACCACCUACGUCUGAAGAGGUGGGAAAGAGUUCAUCAUCCUGCGAGCACCAUAUGAUAAAGGGGGCAUUGAAGCUAAUGCACUUCUCUUCACAGUAGGGGGGUUAGAGUACUCAAAUGAAUAGGCAGAGAAGUUCUUUGAGGAUUUAUGAACAUGAUGAUUUGAGGAGUAAUGCUCAUAUUCAUAUCCCUUGUAAUUUCCCUUCAUAUCAGAAGCAUUAGCACGAGUACGAGCAUGGUUUUGACUAGUUGAGGAUUUCGAUCCUCUUGAAGACUUUGGUCCAUCUGAGGAAUUUGAUCUGGGGUUCAGAUUCUUCACGGGUGGUGUCAUGAGAAAUUUACGUGAAGAUUUUCCAAGCAACUUUUGGGGACCCAGAUUUUCCUCAGGGGUGGUCCAUUCCUGCAGUUAGUUCCAACAUAUCGAGUAAAUACUUCACCAGAUUGAUUUUUGAAUAGUUUAUAGUUGGAGUCAAAUGACUCAUGUGAGGAAUAGGAUAAUUCACAUGCAAAGCAUGUUAGAUUGGAUGGAUCAAUAGGAGGUCCUUUAGCAGCAACCCAUGAGGUUUUGGGAUACUGCUCAGGUUUUCAGUACGAUCCAUUAGCAUUUAGUUUCCUUUCAAAGGCAAUUCCUUCUUUCCUUGGGUUCCUGUUCAAUAUCUGCUUUUUGAGCACAUCGCAAAGGCUUUGAUGCCCUUUGAGACUUUUGUACAUGCCUAUCACAUACAAUUCCUUCAGCCCUGCAUUUUCAUCGGUAACAUUUGUGGUUUCCUCAAGUGAGGAAUUUGAUAUGACAGGAGCAGUUUAAGAAUUUGUAGCAAUAGAAGCAUUUGAUGAUUCUGGUGAAGAAUUUGCAGUUUCACGUUCGAUGCAUUUGAGACAUGGUGGAGUGAAUUCAACCUGAGCGGCACUGAGCUGUUGAGCAAGCAGCGAAUCGUUUUCCAUUCGAAGAUCAUCAUGAGACAUCUUCAACUUUUCAAGAUCAAGUUUCCUUUCAAUAAAUUCAUAGGAAAGUUUAUCAUGAUCAUCCAAGAGUGCGCCAUGACGAUAUUGAAGAUUAUCAAAUAUGAACUCAAGACUUUUCAUAUCUUCAGUGAGGAUUUGGGUAAGAUUCAUUUCAUCAUUCAACAGGUCAUCGCUUCUGUCUAGUAGUUUUUGAAGCUUUUCAAGGGCAGUUUUUUGUUUAGUUGCAAUGUUGGCAAGUUUAAUGUAACUGGGUUUUUUAUAAUCAUCAGGUUCACAGUCACUUGAAUCAGAGGAGGAAGUGUCAUUCGGUACCUUUGAAUCUUUUGCCAUGAAGCAAUAGGUUGGAGCGAAGUCAUCAGCAUAGUCAUCAGUGUAGAUGGCAUUGUCGUUUUCUUCAAGGUUGAAGAUUGACUUGCUGACGAAUGUGGUAGCCAGUGCAAGACUUGCCACACCAGACUUAGGGUCUUCUUCAGAACCUUCCUCUUCAUUACAUUUCUCAUAUUCUUCCUCAGAAUCCAUUUCCUUGCCAAUGAGUGCCCGAGCCUUUCGGAAACUAGUCUUCUUGUGCGAUGAGGACUUUGAGGAUGAGGAUUUUGAAGAUUUCUUCUUUUUCUUCGAGUCAUCAGAACUUUCAUCCUUGUAUUUCUUAUUCUUUGACUCCUUCACCCAGUGAGGUGACCUGAUUUCUUUCAUUUUUGGCAGGUUCUUUUCUUGUAGUCCUCAGACGAAGAUUCUGAUUUCCUCAUAUCUCUUCUUGAAGAUUUACCAAACUGGCCACGUCUUGUAAACUUCUCGAAUUUCCUCACGAGCAUUGCAAGCUUCUGACCAAGUUCUUCAGGAUCACCAAUGCUGCAAUCUGAGUCUUCUUCUUUAGAUGAGGAAAUUGCUUUGGCCUUCAGUGCACGAGGUCUAGAAUAGCUGGGUCCAUACAUAUCUCUCUUUUCUUCCUCUUGGAAUUCACGAGUAUUUAGUCUUUUGAGUAUAUCGGCGGGAUCAAUCAUCUUAUAGUCUGAUCUUUCUUGAAUCAUCGAAACCAAAGUAUCAAAUGAUGAAUCCAAAGAUCUUAGCAGUUUCUUCACACCUUCAUGGUCAGUAAUGUCUCGAGCUCUGAGUGCUUGUAGUUCAUUUGAGAUGUCAGUGAGACGAUCAAAGGUAUCUUGGCAGCUUUCAUUGUCAAGACUAUUGAAGCGAUUGAAGAGAUUGCGAAGAACAUCAACACGAGACUCACGCUGAGUUGAUAUUCCUUCAUUGACUUUGGACAGCCUAUCCCAGAUUUGCUUCCCUGAGCCCAAAGCACUCACUCUGCCAUACUGACCUUCGCUCAGAUGGCCACAUAUGAUAUUCUGCGCUUGAGAAUCAAGUUACUUGAAUUUCUUCACAUCAUCGGCAGAGACAGUAGCAGCGAUGGAGGGAACGCCAUCUUUUACAAUGUACCAGAGAUCAUUGUCGAUAGCUUGAAGAUGCAUCUGCAUCUUGGUCUUCCAGUAGGGACAGUCCUUUCCUUCGAAGGUAGGCCAUCCUGCAGUAACCUUGAUCAUGCCUGCAGUCGACAUAACUAAAAAUCCAGGUGGUUAAACCAACAUCACACAGAACAAGGGAGUACCUUGCUCUAAUACCAAUUGAAAGUGCGUUAUAUCGACUAGAGUGGGGUGAAUAGGCGAUUUUUAGAAUUUCAUCGCUGAGGAAAUUUCUUUUGAGGAAAUUCCUCACUGAUGAAUAACUUGCGGCGAUAACAGCAAAUGAUCAGAAGUGCAAAGACUACAAAAACAGUUUUCUUGAUAAGGAUUAUGAAAAACAGUUUGCACGGUACGCACACACAGAGUAAGCAGGUGACGAUUAACGGGUGUGAAGGAUUUGGGUUGAGGACGUUCAGAGAAAAUCUUCAGCAAAUUCUUCNNNNNNNNNNNNNNNNNNNNNNNNNNNNNNNNNNNNNNNNNNNNNNNNNNNNNNNNNNNNNNNNNNNNNNNNNNNNNNNNNNNNNNNNNNNNNNNNNNNNNNNNNNNNNNNNNNNNNNNNNNNNNNNNNNNNNNCUUCAGCAAAUUCUUCAAACAGAGACAAUGAAAGUCUUCAACAUACAAUAUUGAGGAAUUGAAAGAGUUGAAGAAAUAGAACCCGUAUCACGGUGAAGACAGUUGUUGAUGACCCAGUUCCAACUGUUGUGACAGUCGUACGUCUGGUUUGGAGCGGCUUGGUAUUGAAACCAAAGGACACACAGUCCCGGGACACAUAGUCCCUACCGUAUUCUCCUUGAGCUAAGGACACACAGUCCUCGCCCAACACUCGUGGUACGUCUUCAUGGCAGACUUCCAAGCCCUCACAAACUCGGUCACCUGGCGAUACACAAUUGAGUGCUGGAUUGCGAUAGACCAUGACGUCUAACCGUCUGGAGGAUGCACAGUCCUCAAAGGUAAAAGGCUUCAGCUCCACACAGGAACAAACUCUUCAGUGAUGCUCAAUCACUUGGUUUUUGGUUUGUGGUUUGGUGUUUGGGGUAUUUCAUAACUAAUGAUUUACUCUCGAAAACUCUGAGGAAUUUGGGUUGCUCUAAAUGACAAGUGUCAAUUUCUCGCGGAGCAGCCAACCAGCUAAUGGUUGUGGGGGCGGCUAUUUAUAUCCUGGGAGCAUCCCGACAUGAUUUGACAUAAAUUCCCUUAAAUAUUAUGACCGCUGGUGUGGAUAAGGUUGGUGAGGUGGCAUGAAUCGCGACAACGGUCGGGACUCUCAACUUUGAGAGUCCUCAUGUCUCUCAUAUUCCUCACUUGAGGCUUUUGUAGGAUUAGGCUUGGGUUGAGCAUCAUGAGGAAAUUCAUUCCGUAGUGUUACCUCGGCCCCCUUUAACAGUACGGUGUUCCUAUGACUCAAGAGUGAAGAAAAUGAAACAGAAAGAAAAUCUUCAUGCUUCAAAGUCUUCGGACUGAUUUUCUUCAGGACACACCGAGUUCCUCCUCUUCAGUAACUUCAUGAGGAAUAUCAAUUUCAUCACAAUUUCUUCGCUAUCCAAAUCUUCAGCAUAAGACCAAUUUCUUUAGCUGAAGAUAUACAAUUUUAGGGGUCGAUAUUCAUCGUAUAACUCAAACUCCUCAGCGACUUAUAGAGCCUGUGUACACUUAUAAACACAUUAGAUACUUAAAAGUCUUCAACCCACCAAAAUCACUAAGGGCACUAGAUGCACUUACAACUUACUAAUCAUCCACCUUGAGAUAUCUAUCCCGAACAUCUCUUCGGUAUUAAGUUGCGAGCCCCACCCAAAGUGUUAACUCAAAGCAACGGACAACUGCAUUAAUGAACUAUGUGUAAGGUAAACAAUCCUUGCAACCGUGGUCACAAGACCGUUGUUUUCUCCCUGGUGGCAACAACACAUCCCCUAGUCUCAUGUUUCUAUCACUCAAGCUAGACAUCGAGGGGCAUGAACCCAAAAUCACGCAUAACGCUCCCUCUUGGAGUUACAAUCUACUCGUCGGCCAAAGAAAUAAAUAGCAACAGAGAACAAGUAUGAAUCACUAAGGAACAUAAUAUAAAAGGAUAAUCAAAUAUAUAACUCAUAACAAUCUGAACAUAAUCUCAUAAUCCUUCGGAUCACAACAAACCGAGCAUAGCAAUAGCAAGAGAAUUACAUAGAUGCCUUGAUCAUGUAGGGUAGCUCACAAGGACUAACCAUUGAAGCACAAGAUUGGAGAGAAUACAUCACAUAGCUACUGGUCAUGGACCCAUGGUCCAAGGAGGACUACUCACAGCACGUCCGGGAAGCGUUCAUGGCAGUGGAGAAGCUCCCGGAGGUCAAUCCUCCCUCCGGCAGGGUGCCGGGAAGAGGUCUUCUGACGCUCCCGAUCUCGGAAGCACUGCUUCGGCGGAACGAUGGAGAAAUUCACGAUUCUGGAAGUUUUGGAAGGGUUUCCUCUCGGGACUCGAAAUAUAGGUCAAAGGAGGGCACCAGAGGAGGUGGGGCCCACCUAGGCGGCCUCCUAGAGCGGCAUAGGGCCUGGCCGCGCCAGCAGGUCGCGUGGGCAGCCCCUGGCCCCCCUCUGUCCCAUCUUCGGUGAUUUGGAAGUUUCCGUUUCGCUGAUUUUUUUAUAUAUUUUUCGUGGAAUUUUUCGGGCUUUGAAAAAUUGGGUAAAAGCCCCUGCAAAAUAGACAUCAGCAGACAGAAACUAGCGCUGGGUGCACUGAGUUAGUAGGUUUGUCCAAAUAUGUGUAAAAUGAUAUAAAAGUGUAGCAAAACAUAUAACAAUGUCAUCCAAAAGAUCAUGGAACAAGCAAAAAUUAUAGAUAUGUUUGGGACGUAUGAGGUACCAAGCACCCAAGAGUAACACACUUCUCAAACUUUUCACUUCCAUGUAUGACCGUGAAGAACUCAAAUCGAUGCAACUAAUGCAAUGGCAAGAACACACGAAGUGGUCAAGUCCCUCACACUCAAAUCCCUCCACAACAACAAAAGCUAUGAAGGAAUAAGAGAGGAAGAACAAGGAGCUCACAAAGAACUCCAAGAUUUAAAUCCAAGGUGUUUGAGGCAGCCCCAAUGCAUUCCUUCCCCCUCUUGUAAUUUUUUCCCGUGUAUGGCAACAUUGUUAUGAUGAUCAAGUAGUUUGAGUUGAGGGUGUCUUCAUUUCAUGUCCAUCAUGGCAUCAUGCAUAACAUCUUUUAUCCUUGUCUUGCUUCCUUGUCUUGUACCUUGGUGUUUGAGUGGAAUGCAUGGGUGAGAGUGGCAUGUGAUGGUUGGGUGAUUGUGUUCAACAAGAUCGAGCUCAAAAACAAGGUUUUAAAACUCCUUCUUCCCAUUUAUUUUGAGGCAGUUUAAAAGUUGUUGUUUUGGCCCCUUAAAUAAGUUCCUCCUUUUCUAAAAUCCUUCUUGUAAAUUGUGUAGGCGACCCCUCUGGUUUUAGUUUUUAUUUUCCUUAUGGUUUUAUUUUAAAACAGGGUAUUAUUUAAAUAGAAGGUAUUUAAAUUUUACUCUUCAAAAAUUCCAUGUUUUUAGGAGCCCAAAAGUAUUUUUUAUUUUUGUUUAAUUCCUUUUCUUUUGCCUCUGCCUUAUUUCUACAAUAGCUUAUAAUUUUUAUUUGCAACAAGAGAGAGAGGGCAGGCCCAUUGCGUUAUGUUUUGGCCUAGGGCCGAGCCAGCGAUCCUCUCCCUCCUCGCUUCCGUCACUGUGUACGGCGCCAGGGAGAGCCACCAAUCCUCCUUUCCCCUGUGAUCGAUGGGCCCAUGCCUCGGGGUUUGGUCUAUUUAGCCCUCCUCCUUCCUCUCCAACCAUAUCCAUCUCGCUUCUCCCCCUCUCUUCCCCUCUCGCACCGUUAGGGACGAAGCAGAGUGCCGCCGUCGCCAUGAUCAGCGCUAGCUCAAGCUCGACGCCGGCGUAGCGUCGGCCUCACCUCCUCCCCGACCCUACCAGGAGCAAGAGGACCCCUAUGCAGUUCCAUUUUCGCAGAGAUGGGGCGGAGGGACUCCUUCCCCGACGUCCACGAUUGUCGGCUCCUUCCUCGACCUCCGGCGAGCUCUUCCCGCACCUCGACAUUGAGCCUCCCUUCUCUCCUGCGCCCGUUCUUCGUCGCCGCCCCUAGGUGAGCAGCCAAAGCCUUGUUCUCUCUCCUUGUUGUAUGUAGCCUCGCGUAGGCGCAUCGUCGGCGCGUUGCCUUGCCGCGAUGCUAUCUAGAGCGGCAGCAGCAUGUAGCAGCAGUUUGCGGCAACGCGGCAGCGUUUUUCCCUGUGGUGUGUCGUGCAUGCAUCAUGUUGUGUGUGCACCAGCAGCAAGUUGUCGGUGUUCCUUUGUUAUAGCACGGAGAAUGCCUGGUGUUUAGUCAUCUGGAGUGGAACCUCUUGUUGAGCAGAUUCCCCCUCCUAGGCCGACCGGUUCAAGCGUUGCGCGUGUUUCGAGACCGACCGCCCCCUUUUUAGCUUCGGCAUUUUCUUCGCGUGGUAGUUUAGCUAACAUAGCAGACUUACCUAGCGUGUUGCCUCUGUUGGAGCAGCAACGCCUCGAUAGCGCAGUGGCAACAGAGUUUUGCCAUGCCCGCGGGUCUUGGGUUUGAGUCCCCUCGUGGUGGCCCCCUUUUUCCCUAGUUUUAUUACGUGGAGUUAUACCUGCAGAGUCUGCUUAUCUGAAUUUAACCCCUUUUGUUGUGCAGCUAACCAACAGUAGCCGAGUGGUGGAGUAUGUUGUGUGUGUGGGUGAGGUGCUUGGUUCAAUCCCCCACUAGGCCCUAUUAUUUUUCUGCGUGCAUUAUUGUGUGUGGGGUGUAGGUCCCACAUGUCAUACUCUAGGGGCCCUAGUGCAUAUGACUAGUGGGCCCCGUGUCAAUAGUGUGUUGUUUUAUUUUUUUAUGUUCUUGUUGUGUUAAUUCCAUUUUUGGAAUAGCCAGAAGUGGAAUUGCCUGAUCUGGUAUAUACCAGAUAUGGCACGUUUAAGAACAACUCAUGUUCUUGACAUAAGUAGUUUUGAUCAUGUGUAGAAUUUUUGUGUUGUUUUCUGGUGUUUUUCUACAUGCAUAUAUAGCAGUAUGAUAUAUGGAUUUGGGGUAGAAAACCCUAGGAAUCCAAUGGUGGCACUCGAUUCCAGAUUUGAGCAGUUCUGCGAAAGUGUCAUUUUGUGAUGAGGUGGCACUUUGUUAUGUGUGUAAGAUUUUUUUGUGCAUAUUCAGAGGUUGUGCAUACCUACAUCAUAUUGAUUGUUGCAUUAUCAAUUGCUGGUGUUUAUUUGUUGUUUGUUUCUUUGGGUAGCUACUGGGUCCGGAAACGAGUUCGAGGAGUCAGGUGAGUUCGUGCAGGAAGAUCAGGAACAGUUCCACUCUGAAGAAAUCUCAGGCAAGAUGAUCGUGACCUUGACACCGUUUUUGAUUUGUUAUGCUUAGUUGAUUCGAUUACAUCGUUAUAUCUCCGCUGCCUACCACAUGAUAUAUAGGCCAUUAAACGUUGCCAUGAAACCUCAGACACCAUAACUUAUUGGUCACCAUAACUUAGUGGUCAUGCUUAGAUCUCGUUCGUCUUACUUAGACCACCAUAACUUAUUUCUGUUUUUCAUAAGUUAGCCACCAUUUAUGCUUAGGUUGCUGCAAACUCAACACAUAACCCAACCUCACCUAUUAACUUAGUUAGACUCUGUACCAAGUUCAUGCAAUUCUUGAGUCCCCAUGGCUCACAGUAUACUACAACCACCCACAAGUACAGGUCAAGCAGAGGUAGGUUCAUUCGAUGCUAUAGAUCUCAAGUGGGAGUUUGACGAGGACAGUUGCCGGAUAUACGUGACGUAUCCCGAGGAUUAGAGGCACUUGGUCGUGAUCAUGGGCCUAGCAAGGCGGGAUAGCAUGGGCUUUUGUCGUUUAUCUUGUCCAUAGUCGGAUCCUGUUUUCCCCAUUUGAAGAAUGUAUGACUAUGUGACUCCGUAACUUAGCUUCUGGCGAGUGUAAGCCAAAUCUUAUUACUCAUCCAUCAAUUAUGUACUGCGAUGUUAUCCUGCUUGCGAAAUGCACAAAUGCACCUCUUUCCCCUUUUGAGGCCUCGCCCCCAAAUAAGGAAAGUGCCACAUCUUAGUCGUUACAAGUUGGUGAUCACAGCCUUACAACCAUAGGAGCCUUUGAUUGAUCGAACUUGGCUGAGUCGAGUCUAGUGAAAACUAUUUUGAGUCUUAGUUAUAUCGGAGAGUAGGUUUCUUUUUUAUCCUCUUCUAUGCUCUAGUGAGGUUCAUGACUUAGGAAAUUUUAAUUCUACUCCUCUCCUUGCUCAAAACAUUUUUAGGAUCACGCGCAUAUUUUGGAAUCUAUAUGAUAUCGAUGUGACGGAGUUCUGCCUUUGUGCCUCCUUCUAUGUUGAUUUUAUUCCGGGAAGUUGAGCUCCAGGGCAUUCUUGAGCACAUCUUUAGCAUUCAGAUUUCUUAGUAUCUCAAGACAGAAUAUAUUCGAAAUUGCUUCAAUACUAGUAGUGGCGCGAUAAGCCCGGCAUCCCCAGUACUGGUGCAGAGAGUUCGGGCGUACCGCCAUACUUAGUAUCGCUGUGAUUACAAGGGUGUGAGAUAGAUGAUGUUCCGAGAUUCUGGUUAUGUGUUGAUCGAUGUGAUACACUGGACGGGUUAGAUGCUAGGAGUAGAGUGAUAUAUUACUCCGUGUAUCCGUGGACUAGAUUGCAUGACCACAAAUUUUGGAAGUUCUUAGGUGGGAAUUCCGUUAGCAACUUAGAAAUUCUUUUAUCAAAUGUAUGUUGGGAAUAUAUAUUUGUUCCGAGCAAUUCUAGCUCAUACUUGGCAUUUACAAGUGGCUUUGAAUCAGAUGGUGUUGACAGUUAUUUUGAGGAAGCAUUCUCACAAAUUAUAGUUUGAGUGCAUUGCUAAGAAUUCUUGUUCAGAUAUUUCUGUCCAUUGAGUCAGCUUACUCUUUGAUUUUUUUUUCAUCUCUGGUAUAACGUUUUUGUCGGUCUCCAGGAUGGCCCCUCCAACUCACCAGAAUCCGUGUCAUGGGAGUGCUGAACCUCCACCACCCCCUCCGCCACCGCCUUCUCCUCAAGAGGCAUGACAAGCUGUGAUUGCGGCAACCAAUGCAAACACUCACAUGUUGCUCCAGUUGUUGCAAGAGAGGAACCAAGGGGUAAAUUCAACAAUGUUGGACAACAGUGUGCAUCUCUGAAUCAAUUCCUGGUGAACCAACCGAAGUCCUUCACCUCCUAUGACCACCCAUUCCAUGCGGAUGAUUGGAUUCGUGACAUGAACAAGCACUUCGAGUGCAGUAAUGUACGACCAGAGGACUUUUUCAAGUUGGCAACAUUUCACCUCAAGGGGAAGGUGAUACGUCUCCGUCAUAUCUACUUUUCCAAACUCUUUUGCCCUUGUUUUGGUCUCUAAUUUGCAUGAUUUGAAUGGAACUAACCCGGACUGAUGCUGUUUUCAGCAAAAUUGCCAUGGUGUUGUUUUUGCGCAGAAAUAAAAGUUCUCGGAAUGACCUGGAAAUUUACGAUAAUUUUUUGUGGAAUAUAUAAAAAAAAUUGGCGCAAGAAUCAACUUGAGGGACGGAGCCAGGAGCUCACAAGCCCACCAGGCCUACCCCCCUGGCCGGGCCUUGCAGGCUUGUGAGCCCCUCGGGGCUCUGCCGCCUCCAAUUCCAGCUCUAUAGAUCCUCCUUUGACCGAAAAAAAAUCAAGGAGAAGAGUUCAUCGCGUUUUACGAUACGGAGCCGCCGCCACCACUUGUUCUUCCUCUAGAGGGCAGAUGUGGAGUCCGUUCGGGGCUCCAGAGAGGGGGAAUCGACACCUUCGUCAUCACCAACCAUCCUUCAUCACCAAUUCCAUGAUGCUCUUCAUCGUUCGUGAGUAAUCUCAUCGUAGGCUUGCUGGACGGUGAUGGGUUGGAUGACAUCUAUCAUGUAAUCGAGUUAGUUUUGAUGGGGAUUGAUCCCUAGUAUCGACUAUGUUCUGAGAUUGAUGUUGCUACUACUUUGCUAUGCUUAAUGCUUGUCACUAGGGCCCGAGUGCCAUGAUUUCAGAUCUGAACCUAUUAUGUUUUCAUCAAUAUAUGUGUGUUCUUGAUCCUAUCUUGCAAGUUGUAGUCACCUACUAUGUGUUAUGACCCGGCAACCCCAGAGUGACAAUAGCCGGAACCACUCCCGGAGAUGACCAUAGUAUGAGGAGUUCAUGUAUUCACUAUGUGCCAAUGCUUUCUUUCAGUUCUCUAUUAAAAGGAGAACCUUAAUAUCCCAUAGUUUCCAUUAGGACCCCGCUGCCACGGGAGGGAUGGAUAAUAGAUGUCAUGCAAGUUCUUUUCCUUAAGCACGUAUGACUAUAUACGGAAUGCAUGCCUACAUUACAUUGACGAACUGGAGCUAGUUACAUAUCUCCCCAUGUUAUAACUGUUGCAUGAUGAAUGUCAUCCGGCAUAAUUAUCCAUCACCGAUCCAAUGCCUACGAGUUUUUCCUACUGGUCCUUGCUACGUUACUUUGCUGCUACUCCUGUCACUGCUGCUACUGUUACCGUUGCUACCGUUACUAUCACGCUACUUUGCUACUGAAACUUUGAUGCAGAUACUAAAUCUUUCAGGUGUGGUUGAAUNNNNUCCAAUGCCUACGAGUCUUUUCCUACUGGUCCUNNNNNNNNNNNNNNNNNNNNNNNNNNNNNNNNNNNNNNNNNNNNNNNNNNNNNNNNNNNNNNNNNNNNNNNNNNNNNNNNNNNNNNNNNNNNNNNNNNNNNNNNNNNNNNNNNNNNNNNNNNNNNNNNNNNNNNNNNNNNNNNNNNNNNNNNNNNNNNNNNNNNNNNNNNNNNNNNNNNNNNNNNNNNNNNNCCUCGAAAACUGUUGCGAUCCCCUAUACUUGUGGGUUAUCAAGACUAUUUUCUGGCGUCGUUGCCGGGGAGGCAUAGCUAUAUUCUCUGAGUCACUUGGAUUUACGUCUGUUGACCACUAUGAGAAUCCGAGAGAUCCAAAAACUAAAGUCUUGCCCUCAACUAUGAGGACAGGUAAGGAACUGCGAUCUAGCUCUGCACUUGAUUCACCUUCACUUAUGAGUAAGUUUACGACACCACCACCUGCUAGAAAUUUUGAUAUGUCGCAUGUGCUUGAUGAUGCUAAUUUUGCUAUCCAUGAUGCUUGUGAUUAUGCUUUGCCACUAGGUGCAUUUCUUGAUGCACAAAUUGCUAAAGUUGCUGCUGAAUGUGAUGAUACUUCUGAGACUGCUGAGAUUAUUGAAGUAGAACCUGCUAUUUCACCUGUUAGAACUAGCUCUCCUAGAUAUGAAUUGCCUGAUAUACCUGAGGGUUAUGUUAUGGAGGGAGAGGUAGCUGAGGACUUUCUUGCUUGUAAGGAUAGCUAUGAUCUUGAGAAAUUACUGUGCAAGUGGAAAGAAAAAUCUCUGAACGCUAGGAUGAAAUACGAUCCUAAGUUUGCUACUUCGCCUAUCUUUGUGAAUGAUAAGGAUUAUGAAUUCUCUGUCGACCCAGAGUUAAUCACUUUGGUCGAAUCUGAUCCUUUUCAUGGUUACGAGUCUGAAAUGGUUGUAGCACAUCUUACUAAGCUGCACGAUAUAGCCACCCUAUUCACGAGUGAGGAAAAGAUCCGCCACUACUAUAUCCUUAAGUUGUUUCCUUUCUCGCUAAAGGAUGAUGCUAAGACUUGGUUCACUUCUCUUGCUCCUGGUUGUGUGCGUAGUCCCCAGGAUAUGAUCUACUACUUCUGUGAGAAAUAUUUUCCUGCCCAUAAGAAACAAGUUGCCUUGCAGGAAAUAUAUAACUUUGUGCAAGUUGAAGAAGAGAGUCUCCCACAAGCUUGGGGAGGCUUGUCCAGCUAUUGAAUGCUUUGCCUGAUCACCCUCUUGAGAAAAAUGAAAUACUUGAUAUCUUCUAUAAUGGACUAACCGAUGUUUCUAGGGACCACCUAGAUAGUUGUGUUGGUUGUGUUUUCAGGGAACAAACUGUGGAACAAGAUGAGAUUCUAUUGAAUAAUAUCUUGUGCAAUGAGAAUGCUUGGACUAUUCCCGAACCACCUCCGAAGCCAACUCCGAAGAAAAGAGGUAUCCUAUUCCUCAGUCCUGAAGAUAUGCAAGAAGCUAAGAAAUCUAUGCAAGAGAAAGGCAUUAAAUCUGAAGAUGUCAAGAAUGUACCACCUAUCGAAGAAAUACAUGGUCUUGAUAACCCGACACAGGUAGUAGAGGUAAAUUCUCUUCGUAGAUUCAAUGAGAGUGAUAUUCCUUUUGAUAAACCUCCUAGCUUAUGCUUAGAUGAAUUUGAUAAUUUUGUUGUUAAACAACAAAGUUUCAAUGAUUAUGUUAGCAUACAAUUGGAACAGAAUGCUCGUAUGCUUAGUCAUUUAAGUGCUUGUGUGGAUAGAAAUGUCAAUGGUCUUAAGCUUUUGAGUAAACAUGCCUCUAUGGUCACCAUUCAAGUAGAACAAGUACUUCAGGCUCAAAAUGACUUGCUCAAUGAGUUGAAUGACAACUCUGUUAGAGUCGUCACUAGAGGUGGUAGAAUGACCCACGAACCUUUGUAUCCUGAGGGCCAUCCUAGGAGAAUUGAACAAGAUUCUCAAGGAGUUAGCACUAAUGCAUCUAAUAAUCCUAGUGAUUGGAAGAAAAAUAAAGAUGAUAGGAACUUGCAUGCUAGCAACCCUGUGUUACACCUGAGAAUCCAAACGAUAUCUAUGUUUCUGAUGCCGAAACACAAUCUGGUGAUGAACAUGAGCCUAGUGAUAAUAUCGUAGUGGUGUUCAUGUUGAUGCUCAACCUAGCAAUGGUAAGGAUGUGGAGAUUGAACCUAGUGUUGAUCUUGAUAACCCACAACCUAAGAACAAGAGAUAUGAUAAGAACGACUUCAUUGCUAGGAAGGAUGGUAAAGAAAGAGAACCAUGGGUUCAGAAACCCAUGCCCUUUCCUCCCAAACCAUCCAAGAAAAAGGAUGAUGAGGAUUUUGAGCGCUUUGUUGAAAUGAUUAGACCUGUCUUUCUGCAAAUGCGUCUGACAGAUAUGCUCAAAAUGUCUCCAUAUGCUAAGUACAUGAAGGAUAUUGUGACUAAUAAGAGGAGGAUACCUGAGGUUGAGAUUUCCACCAUGCUUGCUAAUUACACCUUCAAGGGUGGAACUCCUAAGAAACUAGGUGAUCCCAGAGUGCCCACUAUACCUUGCUCCAUUAAAGGAAAUUAUGUUAGAACUGCUUUAUGCGAUCUUGGAGCCGGUGUUAGUGUUAUGCCUCUCUCUCUUUAUCGUAGACUUGAAUUGGAUAAGUUGACACCCACUGAAAUCUCCUUGCAAAUGGCCGACAAAUCAACUGCUUUCCCUAUCGACAUUUGCGAGGAUGUGCCUGUUGUGGUUGCUAACGUUACUAUCUUAACGGACUUUGUUAUUUUGGAUAUUCCCGAGGAUGAUGCCAUGGCGGUCAUCCUUGGAAGACCCUUUUUAAACAUUGCAGGGGCUUUUAUUGAUUACAACAAAGGCAAUGUCACUUUACAUGUCAAUGGUAAUGAGCAUACGGUGCACUUUCCGAAGAAAAAAUAUCGAGUACAUUGCAUCAAUGCUAUUGAAAAAACUUCAUCGAUUCUUAUUGGGAGCUUUGAAUGUCCUAUACCUACUAUUAAGAUGAAGUAUGAUUUGCUUGUUGGGGAUAUGCACAUCCCCAUUGAGGUAACCUAGUGACUAUUCAAAAAUUCUCUGGUUUUAUGCGAUUCGAAAAAAGUUUGUCAAGGAGACUUGACCAACCUCAUUGACAGAUUUAUUUUGAUGACCAUGAGAUGGAUGAAUCUAGGAGUCACAACCCUCUGUUCCGAAACUUUUACUUUCGGUUGUUUAGAAGAAAAAUGAUAGAUUUAGCUUUAGUUUUUCCUGUUUUCUGCUUUCUCCGUCCCUUAGAAAAGUGUCCCGAAAAUAAAAGUUUGUCAAAUGCCCUGAAAAUCAAGUAUGAUUUUUCUGGAAUUUUUGAAAAAUUCUGAGACAGAGAGCUAGUUAGGGGGAUGAGCUAGUGGGUCACAAGCCCACCAGGCUUGGCCACCCCCCUAGUCGGGCCUAGCAAGCUUGUGGGGCCCACGUGACCCCCUCCACUUAUUCCAGCUCCCAUCUCCUUCUCCUACCUCCAGAAAAAUUCAUACCACAGCUCUAACCCGUGUUCUUGCUCCUCUUGCUGCAUUUUUUGAUCUCCUUGUGCAAAGCCCCAUUCACCAAACUGUUUUGGGGAAAUUGUUCCUUGGCAUGUGACUCCUCCAUUGGUCCAAUUAGUUUUUGCUCUAGUGCUUUAUUCGUUGCGUAUUUUUGCUGCCUUGGUGACCCUGUUCUUGAGCUUUGCAUGUUCAUUUUAGUUGGUCCCAAGUAGUUUUGAUGCGUGAUAUUGCCUCUAGGCACUUGCAGGAGUAGUUGCUAUGAGUUUUGUUGAGCCUCGUUCACUUUUCCCUUGAGUCACUAAAAAUUUCAGAAAUUUUCAGAGAAAGAAAAAGGGAACGACGAGGAGGUUCCUAAGAGGCUCUUCAAGCCGUAACCCCAAGGAAGAUGAAAAUGAGAAGAACAAACCCAAGUAUCCGGUCCCCCGAGUUGCAGAAGUUCGAGCGUGCGAGUGGCCAAGCGAUGUGUUCUUACGUGCCGCCGGUCUUUAUGAGGAUGUUUAUUACUUGGUGGAGAACGCAGGCCUUACCGCAUUUGUUGAAGAUAAGUGUCCACAAUACCUCCUCCUCACUAAUAUUUUCGUGCAAAGCUUUAAUUUCUAUCCUAGGAAGGAUCCUCCUAUGGUCGAGUUCAAGUUAUAUGAUAUCCCCCAGUGCAUGUCACUUCAGGAUUUUUGCAAUGUUUGCAAAUUACCUUAUGUUGGGGAUAUUCAUGAACCUCGUCCACGGGACUUGGAGUCUUUCAUUGAUAUUAUUGCUAUAGGAGAGGAGAGAGGAGUAUCUUGCGCUAGAGUUGCUAGCAUACAUUCUCCCGUGCUUCAGUAUUUCUCAUUAUUCAUGGGGAAAUGUUUGAUUGGCCGUGGGAAAGCUGGGGCUCUUAGCUCCCCAGAUCUUGCGGCUUUACGCGAAGCUCUUUAUAAUGAUAAAACUUAUAGCUUGGGCGCUAUAGUGGCUCAACGGUUGAACACAAACCGUACUAAAGGUGUUGUUUAUGGAGGUAUCUAUGCUACCCGUCUUGCUAGACAUUUUGAGAUACCUAUUAGACUACAAGAGGAAGAAGAGAUGCUUCUACUACCCGUCUUGCUAGACAUUUUGAGAUACCUAUUAGACUACAAGAAGAAGAAGAGAUGCUUCUUCGUGAGAGAUAUCUAGAUUAUGAUAGCAUGGUUCGCCAUGACUUUCUUGAUAGAGAUAACAAUAAGAGGAUGAUUUAUAACUUGGUGUUUAGCCAGGGUACUCGUGAGACUAUUACCUUGCCUGCUCCUUCUUUGUUCAAUCUUCAUCUAGGCAGGUACAUUAUUAUGCCCUCGGACAUCUACGCAUAUUGGGGCAUAGCGCCACCACAGGCGCCCGAGCCCAAGCUACCAGUCGAGUACCAGACGCCAGUUUAUCAGUGGGAGCUAGAGGAGCUCACCCAGCAGUGGCACCCUUAGUACACUCCGGAGUACCCCGGAGAUGGUUAUUUCCCUCCGUGGGAGUAGACCAACUUAGGACAAAGGCCUAAGCUUGGGGGAGUACGUGUUUCUCACCGACUUUAUAUUCUUGCUCAUGCUUUCACUUUGUUAGUCGGUGUUCACACCUUGCCAUUUGUAUCAUCCAUGCUAGUUUAUUUCUUUUUCUCGCUUUCUUCUCGUGUGUUUGUUUAGACUGAGAAAAACAAAAAAAAUUAGUUGUAAGUUUACUUUUCUGCUUGCUUAGUAGUGUUUUAAAAAUAAAACCAAAAAACAUUUCCCGUUCUUCUUUUGCUUGUUGGGAGCUUUCCCGUGUAAAUAGUUUUCUUUUUCUUUGGGUCAAGGUAAAAGACCAUGGUUAAAAUGUUUAGUGGCUCUCACAUGCAUAUUUGUUUAUCGGUCAAAGAGCCAUAUUACUUUGUCUUCUCCUCUGUGUUUGCCUGCAGAUUCCAGCUUAGUCCAAUGCAUGAACACUCUCAUUAUAACUCACAUCAUUCGAUCGUGCAAGUGAAAGGCAAUAAUGACGAUAUAUGAUGAAGUGACUGAGCCUGGAAAAGCUGGUAUGAACUCGAUCUAUUUUGUUUUUGUAAAUAUGACUAGCUCAUCGUUCUUAAUUCAGCUUUGUUAUGAGAGAAACAUGUUUGCAAUGACAACUUAGAGAUCAUAGUUUCUGAUGCCAUGCUUAAUUAGCUAGGAGCUUAUAAUGGUUUGUCUUGGAUGCUAACAUGAAUUUCAGUAUGAUUAUGAUGUAGUAUGAUAGGAUGGUAUCCUCCUUUGAAUGAUUCAAGUGGCUUGACUUGGCACAUGUUCACGCAUGUACUUGAAACAAAAUCAACAUAGCCUCUAUGAUAUUCAUGUUCAUGGUGAUUUAUAUCCUACUCAUGCUUGCACUCAAUGUUGGUUAAUUUUAAUGCAUAUUGAUGACUGUUGUCGCUCUCUAGUUGGUCGCUUCCCAGUCUUUUGCUAGCCUUCACUUGUACUAAGCGGGAAUACUGCUUGUGCAUCCACUUCCAUAAACCCAAAGUUGUUCCAGAUGAGUCCACCAUACCUACCUAUACGCGGUAUCUACCUACCGCUCCAAGUAAAUUUGCAUGUGCCACUCUCUAAAUCUUCAAGCAAUAAUCUGUUUUCCAUGCCGGAACCGCUCAUGUGGUGACAAGGGGCGAUCAGUAUCUUCCAUGCUAGGCGUGUUCUCCUCGAUAUGUGUUUAUUCACUAUCACUCACGAGAAAGGGGCCGGUAAUUGGAAUGCCCGGUUCCAUGCUCAAAUCAAAAAGAUAAUUGCAAACAAAACUCCCCCUGGAUUGUUGUUGGUAUGGACGACACCUGAGGAUUCGGCUAGCCGUGGAGUAUGAUUGAUCGGUGGGGGGAGUCAAAACUUUACUUUUCUGUUUGGGAACCGCCUAUAGUUUGUGUAGCAUGGAAGAUGGUGAAAACUCUUGGUCAUCGCGUUGACAAUGAGAGCAUACCACUCAAAAUUGUUUAUCUCUGUUUAAAAGCUUGAGCUCUGGCACCUCUGCAAAUCAAUGCUUCCCUCUACGAAGGGCCUAUCUAUUUACGUUUCUGUUGAAUCAUCCUCUUCUUAUAAAAGACACCAAUUAGAGAGCACCUCUGUCAUUUUCAUGCUUUGCUAUUAAUUGAUAUUGAGUAUGACUGUGACUGGAUCUUCUUUGCCAUGAAUUACAAUGUUCAGUCAGCCCUUGGUCUUUGAAGGUGCUCUGCAUUUCUGUUUUGCGGUCUCAGAAAGAGCUAGCGAGAUACCACCUGUUCAUAUUGCUUCAUGAUUGUUUUGAUUGAAGUGUUGACGUUUGAAACUUAUUAUUAUUGCUCGCUAGUUCAUUAUGCCAUUGAUAUGAGUACUUCAUGAGACCUAUAUGUCAUUGCUUACGUGGUUAGCUUAUGAUCUUGCUGAAAAUCUGAAUAUGAGUUAGACAUAAUUACAACAACAAGAUCAAAUAGAGUUUGUAAAAGUUUUUGUUUUGUCUCUUUGAGUUUGUCAACUGAAUUGCUUUAGGAAAAGCAAGGCUUUAAGCUUGGGGGAGUUGAUACGUCUCCGUCGUAUCUACUUUUCCAAACUCUUUUUCCCUUGUUUUGGUCUCUAAUUUGCAUGAUUUGAAUGGAACUAACCUGGAUUGACGUUGUUUUCAGCAGAAUUGCCAUGGUGUUGUUUUUGCGCAGAAAUAAAAGUUCUCGGAAUGACCUGGAAAUUUAUGAGGAUUUUUUGUGGAAUAUAUAAAAAAUACUGGCGCAAGAAUCAACUAGAGGGACGGAGCCAGGAGCUCACAAGCCCACCAGGCCCCCCCCCCCCCCNCGUGAGUAAUCUCAUCGUAGGGUUGGAGGAGAUCUAUCAUGUAAUCGAGUUAGUUUUGAGCAGGUAGCAGAAUGGUGGCAGCAACUGAAGGAUUCCAGAGGCGAUAGAGUGAUCAGCUGGGAUGAUUUCUGCAUGCAGGGAUUUCAGGGAUCACUAUAUUCCAGCAAGUUUUGUGGAAGAGAUGCGUGAGAAAUUCAGGCGCUUGAAGCAAGGAAGUUUGUGUGUGUACAAGUACAAAGUGGAGUUCCAGGAGCUGGUUCGUUAUGUUAAACAGGACAUUCCAGAUCAAAAGAGCAAGAUUUAUCGGUUGCGAGGUGGUUUGAAGGAAGACUUGCAGCUGGCCCUUGCCUUGCACGAUCCUCUCGGGUUCGACCAGUUCUACAAUUUGUCUCUGAGGGCUGAGGCGGCUUUGCUCAAAGUCGAGAACUCAAGGAAGCAUUUUAGAUAUUCCAGUUCCUUGUCCUCAACUCAGGUGGUUCGGAAGCAACAAAAAUAUUGGGUAUCUCCUCCUCCUCGGAAGCGUCGGCAGUUCAAAAAGUCUGGUGGUCGUGGUUCUUCCCACCCACCCAACCCAGCUUUCCAACAAAGAUUUCAACAGCAGAAGCAAGGAAAUCCUCAAGUGCAAUUCCGUCCACUUUCAGAGGUGACUUGUCACAAGUGUGGGCAGAAGGGUCAUUACUCUAACAAGUGCACCACCCAGCAGUGUCUCUCGCAUCCUCCUCCAAUUAGGUCUCCAAGCAAUGCAAUGGUGAAGCAUAACCCCAAGUAUGCAAGGAUAAACAUGAUGAAUGCAGCUCGAGCACAAAACUUCUCAGAUGUGAUCAUGGGUAAUCUCUUAGUUAAUGAUAUUCCAGGAAAGGUUUUAUUCGACUCCUUCUUCCCAUUUAUUUUUAGGCAGUUUAAAAGUAGUUGUUUUGGACCAUUAAAAAAGUUCCUCCUUUUCUAAAAUACUUCUUGUAAAUUGUGGAGGAAACCCCUCUGGUUUUAGUUUUUAUUUUCCUUUUGGUUUUAUUUUAAAACAAAGUCUUAUUUAAAUAAAAGGCAUUUAAAUUUUACUAUUCAAAAAUGCCCAAUUUAUUUUUAUAAAUUGGAGCAUGUUCUUAGCAGCCCAAAAGUAUUUUUUAUUUUUGUUUAAUUGCUUUUCUUUUGCCUCUGACGUUAUUUAAAAAACAGCUUCUAAUUUUUAUUUUCAGCCACACACACACACACACACACACACAGAGAGAGAGAGAGAGAGAGAGAGAAGGCCCAUUUGCGUUAUGUUUCGGCUCAGGGGCCAACCAGCGAUCCUCUCCCUCCUCACUGUCGUCACUGUGUACGGCGCUAGGGAGAGCCACCGAUCCUCAUUUCCUGUGUGAUCGACGAACCCAUGCCUCGGGGUUCGGUCUAUUUAGCUCUCCUCCUUCCUCUCCAACCCUAGCCAUCUCUCUUCUUCCCCUCUCUUCCACUCUCGCACCGUCAGGGAUGAAGCAGAGAACCGUCGUCACCAUGAUCAGCUCCGGCUCGAGCUCGACGCUGACAUAGUGUUGGCCCCGCCUCCUCCCCUACCCUGCCAGGAGCAAGAGGAUCCCGACGCAGUUCCAUUUUCGCACAGAUCAGGCGCAGGGACUCCUUCCCCGACAUCCACGAUGGCAUGCUCCUUCCUCGACUUCCGACGAGCUCCUCCCGCACCUCGACAUCGAUGCCUCCCUCCUCUCGUGCACCGGUUCUUCGUCAUCGCCCCUAGAUGAGCAUCCGCAGCCUCGUUCCCUCCCCUCGCUGUCCGUAGCCUCGCGUAGCUGUGUCGCCAGCACGUUGCCUUGCCGCGCGGCUCUAUAGAGCGUCAACAGUAGCCUGUAGCAGCAGCAGCAGCUUGUAGCAGCAACAGCAGAUCGCGGUAGGGCAGCUAGUUCGAGCGUGCAGUCCCCCCGCCAGCGAUUUUCCAUGUGGUGUGCCAUGCAUGCAGCGUGCUAUCUGUGCAUCGGCAAUAUGUGGCCGACAUUCCUCUAUUAUAUCAGGGAGGACGCCUGGUGUUUAGUCAUCUGGAGUGGAACCUCUUGUUGAGCAGAUUCCCCCUCCUAGGCCGACUGGUUUGAGCGUUCGCGUGUGACCUGAGGUCGCGGGUUCGAGACCGAGCGCGCCCUUUUAGCUUCGGCAUUUUCUUCGCGUGACCUGAGGUCGCGGGUUCGAGACCGAGCGCGCCCUUUUUAGCUUCGGCAUUUUCUUCACGUGGUAGUUUAGCUAACAGAGCAGACUUACCUUGCUUGUUGCCUUUCUUAGAGCAGCAACACCUCAAUAGCAUAGUGGCGACAGAGUUGUGCCAUGCGUGCGGGUCUUGGGUUUGAGUGCCUCCUAGCGCCCCCUUUUCCCUAGUUUUAUUACCUGGAAUUAUACGUGCAGAGUGUGCUUAUCUGAAUUUAACCCCCUUUGUUGCCCCUUUUAUGUUUCUGCAUGCAUUAUUGUGUGUGGGGUGUAGGGCCCACAUGUGAUACUCUAGGGGGCCUGCUGCAUAUGACAAGUGCCCCCUGUCAAUAGUGUUUUGUUUUUUUACCUGUUUGUUGUGUUAUUCCAUUUUUGGAAUAGUCAAAAGUGGAAUUUCCUAAUCUGGUAUAUACCAGAUAUGGAAGGUUCGAGAACAGCUCCUGUUCUUGACAUAAGUAGUUUUGAUCCCAUGUAGAAUUUAUGUGUUGUUUUGUGGUGUUUUUCUACAUGCAUAUAUAUAGUAGUAUGAUAUAUGGAUUUGGGGUAGAAAAACCCCAGGAAUCCAAUGGUGGCACUGGAUUCCAGAUUUGAGUAGUUCUGCGAAAGUGUCAUUUUGUGAUGAGGUGGCACUUUAUUAUGUGUGUAGGAUUGUUUCUGUGCAUAUUCAGAGGUUGUGCAUACCUGCAUCAUAUUGAUUGUUGCAUUAUCAAUUGCUGGUGUUUAUUUGUUGUUUGUUUCUUUGGGUAGCUAUUGGGUCCGGAAACGAGUUCGAUGAGUCGGUUGAGUUCGUGCAGGAAGAUCAGGAAUAGUUUCACUCUGAAGAAAUCUCAUGCAAGAUGAUCGUGACCUUGACAUUGUUUCUAGAUUUCUUAUGCUUAGUUGAUUCGAUACCAUCGUUAUAUCUCCGCUGCCUACCACAUGAUAUAUAUGCCAUCAAACAUUGCCAUGAAACCUCAAACACCUCCCCUCCAAGCAAAUAUUGUUUGGCUAAGUUAGGUUGCUCAACUAUCAAUCUUAGCGUUGCUAGUUGCAGGUUCAAACUGGUCCAUGUGAUAACAUGGGCAAUUUGAUUAUCAUCUUACUUAAUGCUAUUUAAUUAAUGCACCUAUAUACUUGGUAAAGAGCGGAAGGCCUCGCCUUUUGUCGGGUGAUUUGGUCCGCUGUUGCUGCCUUAGUUUCGGCUAUCGGUGUUUUAUUCCAUAACUAAGCGCUCCUAAUACGUUCGGGGUUCUUAUGGGGACCCCUUGGUAAAUCGUUUAGUCUAAGGCGUGUCUGGCAAUACCCAACUUUGGUUUCAAAUUUGCUAAUAACUUAAUAAAAAGCAUAGGGAAUAGCUACCCCGAGGAAGCUAAUCAACCCCUGGGCCAGUGCUCCUCAUGAGUGUUGGUCCACCCACCUAGCAGUCGGCGGUGCCACCUCAGGGCAACUCGAGUCGUUUGGCUAUCGUCCAUUAUGCAUAGAUGGUUGUGUCCUAAGAACGAGAUACGCGGCUCCUAUCGGGUUCGUCGACACACCGGGUGGUCUUGAUGGACUUGUCUUACCUUAGCGAUAUAUCUUGCGCAUUUGGAUUCCGGUGAGACUUUGGGUCUUCUCAGGGUUUAGGGUUUCCUCUUAGAAAUCCGACGAGAUCACGAGUUUCGUGGUCGAAGAUUACUAUGCGACAUGUGGUAAUUUGUGAUGGAUUAGUUGGAGCACCCCUGCAGGGUUAAAUCUUUCAGAAAGCCGUGCCCGUGGUUAUGUGGCAAAAAUGGAUAUUUUGUUAACAUUCGGUUCUAGAUAACUUAAAGUAACUUAAUAAACCUGCCAACUGUGAGCGUAACCGUGACUGUUUUUUUAGAGCUCCUUCUCUGAUCGAGAACACGGUGGGGUUAUGAAUGAUGCAAGUAGGUGUUCAGGAUCACUUAGUGGUUAUGCUUAGAUCUCGACCGUCUUAUGUAGACCACCAUAACUUAUUUUUUUCUUCGUAAGUUAGCUACCAUAUAUGCUUAGGUUGCUGCAAACUCAACACAUACCCCAACCUCACCUAUUAACUUAGUUAGACUCGAUGCCAAGGUCAUGAGAGUGCUGAGUCCCUGUAAUGCCCCAAGUGUAGGACUUUCCCUUUUUGUAACCUUCCAUGUAGGACCACCUUGACCUUGUCAUGAGAGUUGCUAUGCAUGUAUGAUUUCAUGUGUCACCUUCUAUUUUUUUUCAUUAGCAUGCAUGCAUCCAUGCCUUCUCAUUCCUUGCCUUACCUUUUGAUGGCAUGUCAUGAUCAUGGUGGCAUAUGUUCUUACUAGGAGUUAGUAUUGUGGAGAUAUGAUUGCAUGUGAUCUUGUUAGGUGUGAUGUUGAGGUUUGUUAUUAUCUUGUGUUGAUGCUCAUGUGAUAAUGGUAUGUGGGUAGGAGUGAGUGCUAAGUAUGGUUUAAGCUCUUGCUAUUUAAAAACCUUUUCCCUCCUAUUAUUCCAUGUCAAAAUUCCUUCUUCCCAAAAAUGAUUCUGAAAUGUCUGGUGGUUAGAGUAAAAUGUGAUUAUGAGGAGGUGCAAUUUUUCUGACUUGUUCUUUGAAUUUUAAAGGUGCAAAUAAACCCAAAACAGUAAAUUAAUUACUGUUUUGCAUUUAUUUCAAAUGGCUCCGAAUAUUACUUUCCUAUUUUUUCCUAAUGGGCCAUAAUUCCUUAUGACCAGGAGGUAUUCCUUUUGAUUUUUAGCACAGUAGCUUAUAUGGUGGUUUAUUUUUUCCUCUGUGUGUUUUUAAACGAAAUAGAAAAACCCUCCCCUGCGUUUUCUAUUUUUCCCUGGGCAACAUGGGCCUCCUUUCCUGUUCGCUGGCCCAUGCUCUCCCCUCCAGAGAAAGCCCACGCGAGAGCCCCCUCCUUUCCUUUCUUUCUCUGACGGCGUUACUUCGCCUUCCCCGCUUUCUUCUUUCCGUCAGCGCGUGAGAGACAGGGAGGAGCUGACGGUGCCGUGGCACGGACUCCGAGGGCUCCUAUAUAUCUGGGCGUCCGAGCCUCCCCUCGAAUAGGGUUUCCUCCUGCCGCCGCCAUCUCCUUCUUCCCCCUCCAUCUCUUCCUUUCCUCCCCAGGUAAACUUCCUGUAGGUAGCAGAGAGUGCAGAGAAGAGAGAGUUCGCCGGCGUCUACCCGGCGUGCGUCGUCGGGCGGCACGGCCGCCAUGUCCGGGGGCUCGGGGUGGUUCCCCGCGACCCAUUCCCGGCGCUAGGAGCCCCGAGGAGCGACCCUCCCGUCGAGACCGUCCUUGUCUUCGGCGAGCACCGGACGAACUCCUUCCCCUGCGUCGGUCUACGGCAGGACGACUUCAUCGGCUCUUCUUCUUCCCCUCCGGCGCUCCUCCUCCCCGUUCGGCGCCCCCUCUUCUCCCCAAGGUGAGGUCGCGUCUUCCCCCUUCCUUCCUCCUCCGCGGAUCGGCUCGGACCCGUCGUGGUGCGUGCUUUCUCUGUUCAAUAGCAGCGGCACAGGAGGAUGCAGUAGUAGCGGCUUGCUCUGCAAAGUGCAGAGUUCGUGGGUGUGAUGCGCAGAGGAGGGCUUCCUCCCCCCUCGUGACAGCAGCGCCGUGGCCAGGGGACCCCCUCGUCACCCGUAGCUGUGGCCUUCCUGUCCCCUCGUUCUCGGUAGAAGCAGUGCAGCAACGUAGAGUUUGUGCGGGUUCUCCUUCCGUCUAGGGCGCCAUUCGGGCGUUCACUAGCAGCAGCGGGGAUCCCUUCCCGCGUAGAUAGGUGUUCGGUAGGUGCAGGUCCUCCUCGUCGCCGGUUGCGCAGCGCGGCAACGCCGGUAAGGGGAGCCCAUCAGGAUCUCUGGCGCUGGCGAUUUCGGUAGACAGAGGGCGAUUUCCGUUAGCUGUUACCUUUGUGUUUUCCCCCUCUGUCAGUAAUCACAUCGUAGACUAGUGGUUGUUCCAUGUGUGCGCCUGAUGAGAGGUUCUGGGUUCGAUCCCCCUCUCGGCCUAUUUUUGUAUUGCUAAUUCGGUGCACAGUGACCGGGAGCAGUUCACCUUGUUCCCUUCCUCCAUCCUGUCGAAUAGAUGACAGUAGUGUGGUGGUGUGUUGCUGUUGCUAGAACCAGAGGUUCUGGGUUCGAAUCCCAGUAGUCUCUGUGUCCCUUUUGCUGUCAUUUUUUUUGUCUAUUUAAUUUCUGUUUUCCUAACUCCUUUACAAAGUGGUUGUUUUGCUGUUAAUUCUGAUGUUUAACCAUCUCUUAGGAUUGGGGAGGAUUAAUUACUGUUACUGUUAGAAUAGUUAGGAUAGAUUUAUGUGUGUGUGUGUUUUGCACACUAGUGUUUGUUGGAUGAUGCUAACCUUGUGGUGCUCAUGAUGAGUGAAUCUAGUGGUGUGAAGUACACUUGGUAGGAGUUGUGCAUGAUAAUGUGGUUUCUUGUGAGUGUUGUGCUUAAGGUAUGCAAGUAGCACUAGUGUAUCAGGUGUAGCCAUCUUUGGAGUUUUAGUGUGGCCUAAGUUGAUCUUGUAGUUUCUGUUGCUAGCAUGGAUUUAGUGGGGUGGGUGCCUCCCCUUCACCACAUGGACUUGAGGUGAUGAGUUGCACUAGGUGGCCAUCUAUGUUAGCAUGUGAGGGUGUGAAUUGUUGUGGGGGUUGCACUUUGAGGGUGACAUGAUUCCUAGGAAGAUCCUAGUAAUGAAUGUGAGAGUGUGUACCAUCACAUGCCCAUAUGUGGAGGGUGCAUACUCUCUUGUUAGCAUAGAGUCCCAUUGUGAUGUGCUUGAUACUAGUAAUAUUGUGAUAUGGGUGUGGGUGUUGUUGAUGUGCAUGACACAAACAUGGGGUUCAAACCCCCAUGUCACUUUGUCAUUGUGCACAUAAAACUCGCCCAUGUAUUGUCAUCUUAGAAGCAUACUUUAUGGAGUUACAUUUACAUUUUGUUGGAAAUUUGGUCUUUGAUUCCAUGGUAUAGGAGGAGCCCAAGGGCAUGGAUCUUUGUGUUUUAGUAGUAGGGGUUUGUGCUCAACACCAUAGUGGUGUCAAUCACCUCUUGGUGACAUGUGUGUGCAAACUAUGCCUAGACAAAGUGGGCAUAUGGCUGGAAAAUUCCAGAUUUUUGAACUCUGAAAAUUUCACUAAGUCUGGGAUGCUGGAAACAUUUUCUUCCCCUGUAGAUUAGGAUGUGCUGGUCAUUCUGUUGAGAACUGGACUUAGUUCAGUGCUAGUAUUUUGAACCUGGUAUGUUGGUGAAGCUUCCUGUCAAUUUUCAAGUCAUUUGGAGUCUAGUAGAUUGUAUUUUGAUUGCUGUCAAAAAGCUUCAGAACAGAAACAGAAACUCAGGUGCAGGAAUUUUCACUAAGUCCCUGAGAUCUUAUGGUUUUGGGAAAGUUUGUGGCCUUGUAGCUUCUAGAGUUUAAUUCCUUUUGCUGUGAUUCUUGCUGGAUCUUGUAUUGUUUUUGGUUGGAAACAGCCACAUAUAUUAUUUGCCAUGUUUGAAGACCUGUAGCUAUGUUGCAUGUUGCUCCCAAACAGCUAAGAUGCAGAAACUGGCAGAUUGUGUAGUUUUGCCAUUUUGUUCAAAGUUUGUGUUUAAUUGUUGUUGGAGUGUUCUACCUUGCUCCAUUUCAUUCAUGUUGGGUUAAUAUAUGUCUUGGCAACCUGGGAAUACCAGAUUUGUGCCAAUUGUGUGUGUGGUGUUGAAUCUUUCAUGUAGAGCUUCAUAUCGUGUUUCGUUGAUUCCCGUUGAUCCGUAGCUCCGUUUGCAAAGUUCUCUAUAUGGUUUUGCACCGUUUUUACGAGCUUCAUCUUCUCAUAUCAUUCCCAUGCAUGUCCAAAUAGUUUAGUGCAAAGUUCUGUCCAGAAACUUGUUGAAGUAUAUUUUGCUUGUGCUAGUGUUAGAAAUAGUGGUGCAUGCUCAACUUUCAUCUCAUGCAUCAUGUGAUUGUUGCAUUUUGUGGUGCUGCUGUUCAUUGGCUGUUAUUCUUAUGUUGGGUAGCACCGGGAGCGGAGAACGAAUACGUGGAGUCAGGAGAGUACGUGCAGGACGAUCCAGAACCAUUCCAAGCUGAGGAUAUCACAGGCAAGAUGAUAUGACCUUGAUCCCACCUCUAGACUUGUUAUGUUAGUUUCGAUUCCAUGUCAUAUUUAUCGCUGCCUACCACUGAAAAUAUAUUGCCUCUUCAUGUGCCAUGAGCCUAAACACCUUACUCUUUCCUAGCAAACUUGCAUGGCUAGGUAGGCUUGCUCAGCUACUAAUGUUAGCAUUGUUAGUUGCAGGUGUUUUAAACUCAUGUGAUGACAUGAGCUUGAUAUCAUUAUACUAAUUUCUGUUAUUUAAUUAAUGUAUCUAUAUAUUUGGUAAAUGACGGGAGGCCUAGCCUUUUGCCGGGUGUCUUGUUCCGUUAUUGCCGCCUUAGUUACCCAUUACCGGUGUUUGAUUCCAUAAUGAUCGCUCCUAACACGUUCGGGGUUGUUAUGGGGACCCCCUUGAUAAAUCGCGUAGCGUUAAGGCUUGUCCGGCAGGACCCAACAUUGGUUUUAAUUUGCUAAUCACUUAAUAAUAAACUGCAUAGGGAAUAGCUACCCCGAGGAUCCUAAUCAACAACCCGGGCCAGUGCUCCUCAUGAGUGUUGGUCCAACCACCUAGCAGUCGGCAAGACCACCCCGGGGAAACUUGAGGUUUGGUCCUUGUCCACUUUGCAUAGACGGUGUUGUCCUGAGACUGAGAUACGCGGCUCUUAUCGGGUCGUCGACACACCGGGAGGUCCUGCUAGCCUUGCCUUACCUUAGCGAUAUAUCUUGCCUAUAGGAAUCCCGGUGAAGCUUUGGUUUCCCCCAGAGUUGAGGUUUUCCUCUAAGGAAUCCGACGAGAUCACGAGAUUCGUGGUAGAGGAUGCCUUUGCGGCGUGUGUUCGUUUGUGAUGGACUAGUUGGAGCACCCCUGCAGGGUUUAAUCUUUCGGAAAGCCGUGCCCGCGGUUAUGUGGCAACUUGGAAUAUUUUGUUAACAUCCCGUAUUAGAGAACUUAAACAUAAACUAAUAAAAAUGCCAACUGUGCGCGUAACCGUGACUGUCCCUUCGAAGAUCUCUCUUCGAUCGGGAACACGGUGGGGUUAUGAAUGCCGUAGGUAGGUGUUCAGGAUCACUUUCUGAUCAAGUAUUCUCGAUCGUUAGCAUAGACCACUACCACUUCACUUUUGCGUAAGUUAGCCACUUAUUCAAUCAUAGGUUGCAGCAGCCUGAUACACUUCACCCCUUCCUUACCCAAAUAACGUGGCUAGCUUUGGCACCAAGGUCUUAGAUUGCUGAGUCCCCGUGGCUCACGGAUUCCUCUGAAACUCCCAGCAGGUACAGGUAUCCCGGAGGCAGAUGAUCCCGACGGCACCCAGCUGGCGUGGCAGUACGACGAGGAGACAGAUCGCCUUUACGUGAACUAUCCAGAGGACUGAGUCGUGGUCGUGAUCGUGGGCCUGCAGCGGGUAGCAUAGCAUUUUCCUUGUUUUGAAGUCCGUACCGGAACUACCUUGUUUGUAUCUGCGUUGUACUCUGUAUUAUUAAUAAGAAGACAGUUGGAUCCCAGAUUGUCUACUGUAAUUAUUAUUAUGUGCUAUGUUUACUUGCUUGCGAAACGCUUAGAUGCGCUUCUUUCCUAUUCGGGGGCCUCGACCCCCAGAUCGGAAAGGACCGCAUCUUGGUCGUUACAGUCCCCGUGGCUCACAGUAUACUACAACCACCCACAAGUACAAGUGAAGCAGAGGUAGGUUCAUUCGAUGCUACAGAGCUCAAGUGGGAGUUUGACGAGGACAGUCGCCGGAUGUACGUGACGUAUCCCGAGUUUUAAAGGCACUUGGUCGUGAUCGUGGGCCUGGCAAGGCGGGAUAGUAUGGGCUUUUGUCGUUUAUCUUGUCCGUAGUCGGACCCUGUUUUCCCCAUUUGAAUAAUGUAUGAAUGUGUGACUUUGUAAUUUACUUGUGGCGAGUGUAAGCCAAAUCUUAUUACUCUUACAUCCAUUAUGUAUUGGGAUAUUAUCCUGCUUGCUAAACGCUCAAAUGUGCCUCUUUCCCCUUUUGAGGCCUCGCCCCAAAUAAGGAAAGUGUCGCAUCUUAGUCGUUACAAGUUGGUUAUCAGAGCCUUACGACCAUAGGAGCCUUUGAUUGAUCGAACUUGGCCGAGUCGAGUCUAGUGAAAACUAUUUUGAGUCUUAGUUAUAUCGGAGAGUGGGUUUCUUUUUUCUCCUCUUCUAUGCUCUAGUGAGGUUCACGACUUAGGAAAUUUUAAUUCUACUCCUCUUCUCGCUCAAUUGUUUUAGGAUCACGUGCAUAUUUUGGAAUAUAUAUGAUAUCGAUGUGAUGGAGUUCUGCCUUGGUGCCUCCUGUUGUAUUGAUUUUAUUCCGGGGAGUUGAGCUCCACGGGAUUCUUGAGCACAUCGUUAUCAUUCAGAUUUCCUAGUAUCUCAGGAUGGAGGAUGUUCGAAAUUGCUUCAAUACUAGUAGUGGCGCAAUAAGCCCGACAUCACCAGUACUGGUGCAGAGAGUUCGAGGGUACCGCCAUACUUAGUAUCGUUGUGAUUACAAGGGUCUGAGAUAGACGAGGUUCCGAGAUUCUGGUUACGUGUUGACGGAUGUGAUACACUGGACGGGUCAGAUGCUAGGAGUUGAGUGAUAUAUUACUCCGUGUAUCCGUGGACCAGAUUGAAUGACCAGAAAUUUCGGAAGUUCUUAGCUGGGAAUUCUGUUAGCAAUUUAAGAAUUCUUUCAUCAUAUGUAUGUUGGGAAUAUACAUUUGUUCCGAGCAAUCCUAGCUCAUACUUGGCAUUACAAGUGGCUCUGAAUCAAAUGUUGUUGACAGUUAUUUUGAGGAAGAAUUUGCACUAAUUAUAGCUCGAGUGCAUUUGCUAAGAAUUCUUGUUCAGAUAUUUCUGUCCAUUGAAUCAACUUACUCUUUGAAUUUUUCACCUCGGGUCUAACAUUGUUGUCCGUCUCCAGGAUGGCUCCUCCAACUCGCUAGAAUCCGGGUCGUGAGAGUGCUGACCCUCCACCACCCCCUCCGCCACCGCCUCCUCCUCAAGAGGCAUGGCAAGCUGUGAUGGCGACAACCAAUGCAAACACUCACAUGUUUCUCCAGUUGUUGCAAGAGAGGAACCAAGGGCAUCAGGGUAAUUUCAACAAUGGUGGACAUCAAUUUGCAUCUCUGAAUCAAUUCUCAACGAACCAGUUCAAGUCAUUCACCUCCCGUGACCAGUCAUUUGAUGCAGAUGACUAGAUUCGUGACUUGAACAAGCACUUCGAGUGCAGUAAUGUAUGACCAGAGGACUUUGUCAAGUUUGCAACAUUUCAGCUCAAGGGGCAGGCAACAGAAUGGUGGCAGCAAUUGAAGGAUUCCAGAGGCUACAAAGUGAUCAGCUAGGAUGAUUUCUGCAGGGAUUUCAGGGGUCACUAUAAUCUAGCAAGUUUUGUGGAAGAGAUGCAUGAGAAAUUCACGCGCUUGAAGCAAGGAAGUUCAUCUGUGUACAAGUACAAUGUGGAAUUCCAGGAGCUGAUUCGUUAUGCUAAACAGGACAUUCUAUAUCAGAAGAGCAAGAUUUAUCAGUUCCGAGGUGGUUUGAAGGAAGACUUGCAGUUGGCCCUUGCCUUGCACGAUCCUCUCGAGUUCGACGAGUUCUACAAUUUGGCUCUAUGUGGUGUCAAGCCCAAUUUAGGAGGCAUGGCUCUAUGGGAUAACAAGGUUGCCCCAGUCGUCGACUCCGAGCAUUGGGACUGGGGAGUACACCGCCCGCCUCCGUGCGCAAAUUAUGCAUGCCCAACUCCGAUUCAAGAAACAAGCCGACCGCAACCGGACCCAACACAACUUUGAAGCAGGGGAUUCAGUGCUCCUCAAGCUGCAACUGUACGCCCAAUCGACUGUCAUCAACCGUCUGUGUGCCAAAUUAGCAUUCAAGUUAUUUGGACCAUUCAAGAUUCUUGAGUGCAUUCACAAGCUCGCGUACAAGCUGGAGCUGCGUGUGGACAACAGCAUGCAGGACGUCUUCCACGUCUCCGAGUUGGGGCCCUUCACUCCAAACUACUCCCGAGUGUUCACUGAGCUACCUCGUCCACGUGAUUUACCAGCUAGUGACGCCGAGCUGGAGGAAAUUAUCGAGCAUCGGAUGGUCAAGCUCGGCGAUCAAGCCAUCGUCCAGUUACACAUUCACUAGUCAUCCUCUUCGGGAAGCACCAUGUGGAAAGACUAGGACACUCUUCGCCAACGUUUCCCAGCUGCAGGAAUCUCGGAGGAUGCACCAGCUGACCAAGACGCACGCCGAUCUGACGGUGAUGCACUCUGCGAAUAUGGAGCUCGUUCUGAAGAAAACGGGCAUGUCACACCUGCAUCCCUGAUCCCUCCCAACAUGGAGUGGACAAGGGAAGUCUGGGCCAUUGAUCCUUGUAAGCGUGGGGCCCAUAGGCCAGGAGUGUGUGUGUGUGUGUCUAUUUAGUCUGAGUGGAUAGGGAAGGAGCAAAAAAAAGGAAACCACAAGGCUCUGAUCUCUCAUCCCUUUCUCUGGUUUGAUUCUGGAUCUUGCUGGGUUGUUACACCUCGUCAACGCCGCCGUCGCGCCCUCUCAAGCGCCGUUGUCGCAUCAUCGUCAAGCUCCACCGCCGCGCCCCCUACCGCCGCUGCAGCCUCGUCAAGCGUCGUCGCCGCCGCGCCCUCGUCAAGUGCCGUCGCCUCCGGCCUAGUCAAGCGCCGUCGCCUCCGGCCUGGUUAAUCGCCGUCACCGCCGUGCACCCGUCAAGCGUCGUCGCCUCCGGCCUGGUCAAGCAUCAUCGCCUCCGGCCUGGUCAAGCGUCGUCACCUCCGCGCACCCGNNNNN